CUUCAUUGACGAUGGUAAAUCCUCCAUCUACGACCAAAUUAUGCCCACUCACACACUUGGACUCAUCACUCCCCAAAUAAAGAGCAGCUUCAGCUACAUCCUCAGGCUUAAGAACAGCCCCACUGAGAUUUGAAUAAAUGGCACUCAAACCAUCAUCGUCAAGCUUGUAAAAAUCCUUUGCCAAUGGAGUUGCGACCACAUAAGGUGACACACAAUUCACCCUAAUGCCAAAUCGUCAAAGCUCCACGGCAGCAUUCUUCAUCAGCCCCACAACGCCGUGCUUCGAACUCGUGUAUGCAUGCGAUGCAACGCCACCAUUGACUCCGCAAACGCUUGCAGUUGAAAUUAUGCUGCCGCGUCCGGCGGGUUUCAUCACCCUCGCAGCAUGUUUCGUCCCCAAAAAUACGCCCACGAGGUUAACGGAAAGUACGCGCUCAAAUUCAGCCUGAUCAUUAUCCAGAAUGUUAUGUUUGGCUUCAUCCACAAUGCCGGCGUUAUUGAACAUAAUGUCUAGCUUUCCGUACUGAGAGACGGCCGUGUUAACGGCGUUUUCGAUUUCUUUUUCUUUGGUUACAUCACAAUGGACAUAGGAGCAGCCGUUGGCUGAUGAUGAUGAAGAGCCUAUGUCCUUGCAUACAGACUCGCCUAAGUCAUCUUUAAUAUCUGCAAUGAGUACUUUAGCUCCAUGUCUGGAGAAGAGCCUUGCAGUGCAUUCCCCAAAGCCGCUUGCUCCGCCGGUGAUAAGUGCCACUUUGCCUAGAAGCCUAUGCAACAUCGAAUUACCAUGCCACAAUUGUAACAUCUAAUCAAUCUAGCUAGUUGACAGUUUAGACUGGGAAGUCGGAACUAUAACUUAAUUAAAGCUUAAGCUUAUUUGAAAAAAAGCCAGGCAAAUAAUAUUUGGAAUUGAUAAGAGUUUUGAGCAAAUUAAACUAACCUUCUUGCUGCAGCUGAUACAAUUGAAGCACUGCCCAUUGUUAUAGCACGUACGGGAACCAAAAAUGAAGAUCAAUUAUAAAGUCUUGCGGAUCCAGAAGGAUGUUAUUACCCAGCAAGUUUGAGCUUCACUUUCUGAAAAUUGAAUUUGUUAAGAUUUCAGUCCCCACCGAACCAGUACAGCAUCUAUCUUGUAUCCACACCACUCCUUAUGGAUCACGUGUCACUUUUUCUGUCAAGUAAUCUGUCUAUUCAAUGCAAAACGUUGUACGUACUAGAAAGGAACAUGCGUUAUCGCUUCCUUUUUAUUAAAUUCUCGAAUUCUCGCCACUCGUCGUCUAUCGACAUUAUCAUGAUUUGUUGAAACGCACACCUUUAGAUUAUUAAUAUUUCCUUGGUUAAAACUAGAGGUAAAUGACGGCGUGGGUUUGCAUUAAUGGAACGCAUUAAAUUUUUUACCACAAAAAUUUUUGCUUGGAUUAUUUUACUUGUUUUAUAUCUUUUAAAACAUUUUGUUCCUCAAAUUAUAGUGUAAGAUUUUAUCGUUUCAAAUAUUUAGCACCAGUUAUGUAUAAUUAUUAAAGAAAAGAAUUAACAUUCAGACAUCAAUUCAACCUUACGAUAAUAAUUUUAAUAUAUUCCUUUUCACAUCAUAUUAUGGAGAUACUUAAAACUUAUUUUAAGAUGAUGAAAAUUAUAAAAUAAAAUACACUAUAUUAAAAUAUAUGUUUUUCUAUCUUUUAUUUUAUUCUUUAUUUUGAAUCAAGUAAACGGAAAAGAACACCAACACCCCCAAGUUUUAAAAAAGAGACACCAAAACUUCUUUUUACCUAUAAUACUCUUUGACUAUAGUAAUUAAAAAAUUAACUUUAAAGGUUUUUAGUUAACACAAAUUUAAUAUAAAUAAUAUAAUCUAUCUAGUAGACUAAUAACAUUAAAUUAUUUUUGACAUUUAAAAUAAUAUUGAAAUUUUAAAUUAUUAUCUUUAAAGAUUUUAAAUAAAUCUUUGGGUUAAAUAAAUUUUACAAUAAAGAAAUCUCCCUAUUAAUAAUAUUAAAAUUAACUUUUACAUAAUAUUCAAAAUAAUUUUAAUUUUAAUUAAUUAAUUUUAAUAUUAUGUUUCUAUCUAUUAUUAAAAAUUACUUUAAUAUGAUAAAAUAGGUCUAAUAGAUUGAAAAUAUAAAAAUAUUUUUGAAUAUUAUUUUUUUUAAAUGUAUAUAUUAUUACAUUUAUUUUAAUGCCAUAUUUUCAUUUGUUAUAAAAAAUUUUGGGGUUAUUUUUUGUAUGGAUAGCAAUUUAAGAUCUUGGGCCGAGCUUUUUCAAACCUAGACCCAAGUUAUUGACAGUAGGUCCAAGCCCUCCAAAAGCCUAUCCAUACUUAGAUGGGUCGGAAUACUUAAAUUAAAGAUUAUUAAUUGAUUAUACAGUAUAUAAUAGACUAAUAAUUAAAUACAAAAAAUAUAAUAUAUAAUAUAUAUAUUUUAAAAUAUAAAGUUCAAAAUAUAUAAAAUAAAAAAUUUUAUUUAUAAAAUAUAAAGCUCAGGCUUUUCCCAUGAGCCUAUAACUAGGCCCAUCUAUUGUGGGUUUUUAAAUUUUCAGCCCAUAUCUAGGCUCAUUUGCUGUGGGCCGGGCCUGAAGCCCUCGGGCCUGGACGAGCCCUUUAUAGGCCGAGUAAGGCUAGGACUAAGCUUUUGCCAUCUCUAAUCUUUUAGAGAUUUAUAGAGUCAAAAAGCGUUAUGGUCUAAAAAAAGUCUUAGUGUCCCUUAUUAAAAACUUGAAGGGUUUUUGUGAUCAUUUUCCUAAACCUUAGAGUUAUAAAUAUCAUUUUUCCUAAAGUAAAAGAUCUUUUAUUAAAAAUCUAUUUUUACUUACAUGUGAUAAUUGACAACUUAUAUUGGGGACCCAAAUUUUUCUUACUUUCCUUCUCUUGUUUAUCUCUCUUUUGGCCCUUCGAUAAAUCCUUCUCUUACUAGAUUCGUUUCACAUUAUUUUCUCUUUCGUCCAAUAUUCCAUCAUGUUUCUCUUGUUAAUAUUACAAAAUACAACAAUCAAAUAUUUUUUCAAUGUAAGAGAGGUGAUCUAUUGAGCAUGGUCUCGCUUCAUAAGGAGAGCGAUGAGCACAUGUCAAAGCUCUCAAAAAAAUAAGUUGUAAGAUCUAAAACUCUGUUAGCCUAAUAAGCUAUGCGAACAUUAAUUCUGAUGAUAACAAACUGUGUAUUAAGGGCAAAAUAGUAAACAUAUAUUUCAUGAUUUCACUAGUUCUUGAAAGGAAAAAUUCAUUCACGCAAUAUCAAGCUCAAGACAAGCAAUGGACAACGACACGAUCAAGGACAAAUAUUAAGAGGACUAGCUUAAAGUGAUCUCCGUUGUUAGAAUUCUUAUAAAGUCGGUACAAUUUAAUGUAGGCAUGAUUUAGCAUUUUAAAAGCUCAAUAGUUUGCUUAAUAAUAAUCAUUUGUCAUAAACUAAAGGCUUUAUAAUUAUAAGACAAGUAAUUUUAUGAGAUNNNNNNNNNNNNNNNNNNNNNNNNNNNNNNNNNNNNNNNNNNNNNNNNNNNNNNNNNNNNNNNNNNNNNNNNNNNNNNNNNNNNNNNNNNNNNNNNNNNNCCACUCACCAAAUUGUAUAUAUGUAUAUAUGUGUAUACACACACACACUACCUCAUAUAUGUGUAUAUACGAACAAUUUAAUCUACUUGCUCAUUAUAAGUAUUUAAAAUGAUAUUAUUCAAUAAGGAGCCCCAUUUUCAAUCUAUAAUUUAAUGCAACUCUGCAAUGAAUUCAUAAUCUAUUGCGUCUCUCAUAAUUGCUCUUUUCUUGUUACAGUAAUUGAUCAUUUUUUAACUCAAAUAGUUAUCCAUUUUUUAAUUGAAUUACGUGAUAUUUUUAUAUUACUAGGAAUGACAUUAUGUUAUAUAUAAGCAUUGGGUUUUUGUUAAAUGAUUUUAUCAACUUUACUGAUUGUUCUAUUUUAUUUUAUUUUUCCUCAGACAUAAUUAAUGGACUUCAAUGAUACUCAACUAGUUCAAGCCAAGGGGCUGAGCAAGAAGUCUUGAAUUCAUGUUCAGAAAAUGAUGAUAAUGCUUAUUUACCAGAAGUAGUGAGACUUGACCGGAAGCCCAAGUUAGGCCAAGAAUUUGAAUCAGACGCGAAGGAUGCUAGAUUUAGUGUUAGAAUUUAUUCCAGUAAAAAAGGACUAAAAAUACAAAAGAAAUUGUAGGGAAGGAGUACGCAUGUUUCAAAGAAGGAACAUCAUCCAAAAGAGGCAGUCACAUUAAUUAUAAUAAUAAUAAAAAGAAAUAAAGAGAGGGUUCAAGGACUAGUUCGAUCACGAAUGUCGUAAGGCAAAGCCUGCAGUGGUGAGAACAAGAUCGGGAAAUUAUAUUGUCAGCUUGUUAAUUUUUGGAGAGUCACAGCCAUCCAUUAUUCACCCCUCAAGAGUACAACCUUCAGCUGCAAGUAGCCAAUUGAGAGUCGGUACUAUAACUUAAAAAGCUUAAGCUUAUUUGUGAGUCAAGUUUUGGUACUAUAACUUAAUUAAAGCUUAAGCUUAUUUGACAAAUAGCCAGGCAAAUUAUAUUUGGAAUUGGUAAGAGUCUUGAGCAAAUUAAAGUAACCUUCUUGCUGCAGCCGAUACAAUUGCUGCACUGCCCAUUUUUAUAGCACGUGCGGCAACUAAGAAUGAAGAUAAGUUAUACUGUCUUGCGGAUCCAAAAGGAUGUUAUUACGCAGCAGGUACAUUUGUCUAUGUCCACACCACUCCUUAUGGAUCAUGUGUCACUUUGUUGUCAAGUAUCUAUCUAUUCCACGCACGUCGUUCUACAUAGAAGACACAAGAACGUGCAUUACCACUUUCUUUUUAUUAAAUUCUUAGUAUUUCUUACCACACGUUUAUGCUUGCUUGGUAAAUUGUGGGUUUUGCUCGGAUUUUUUAAAGUUUAGGCCUUUUUAAAAGUUUGUCUAAAUUUAGAUGGGUCAGACUUGGGCCGAACCUAGACAAACCUGCACUUUUUCAUUAAUUAUGAAAUAAUUUUUUAAUAAAAUAAAAAUAUUUAAAUAAAAAUAAUUAUUUUAUACAGAAUAGAAUAAUAGUCUAAUACACAAAAUAUUAAUAACACAACAUAAAAAAUUAUAAAUAUUAAUAUUAAUAUAAAUUUAAUUUAUUUUUUAUUUAUAAAUAAAAAUGCCAAGGCUUUUUUCUUAAGCCCUUAUCCAAGUCCAAUCUACGCAGCUUUACAUUUUUUCGGCUCAUAUCUAGGCCCAAUCCAAUUUAUUCGGUCUUUAGACCUGUGGAUCUAGAUCGGGCCAGGCCGGCUUCUUUGCCAAACUUAGUUUAUGGACAUUAUCAUAUUUUGUUGAACGGUUCUACUGUAAUACCGUAAUUUGUUUACGGCAUCAAUAAUGUUUAAAUUGUAUACCAUUGGAUGAAGUCAAUGGUAUAAAAUAUUUUUAUUAACAAAUAAUUUAAAAAUAAAUGUAACCAAUUGUUAGCCAUUUAAAAGGGCGGAAAUUUUUUGUAAAACAACUUUGACCACCCUCAGAGUUUGAAAUAAUUUCAUUUGAAUAAUAUAUUUUAUUUAAAAAUUAUUUUUUCAACCCUCUUUAAAAUUUGUAAUGUAAUAAUCUUUUUUAAAUUAAUGUUUCAAAAUAUAUUAAUAUUAAAUAUAGAACAUAAUAUUUAGUAGGUUAUCUAACACAAAUCAAAUAAAUAAGUUGCAAUUAUAAAAUUUUUAUAUGACAUAACACCAAUAAAUAAACACAACUACGUAUGUAUAUUUAAGUUAAUGUCAUGAUUACAUCAAUAAACUCUUGGGGUGAGGUUGCUUGUAACUUAAAAAAUACUUGAUCACACAUUUUUUAAUACAAUUUAAUAUCGCAUGUUAAAAUACUCAUUAUUUUAUAUACUAUUAAGGACCAUUGUAUAAUUGAUCAUGAAAUAUAUAUUACUUUUAAUAACCAUUUAGCAUACGUAUUCCAUGAAUUUAUUGUUUAUCUUACAAUUAAUAAUCUUAAAUGGUAGGAAAUUUAAGUUUUACAAGCCUAAAUAUUUUUAUUUUAUUUUUGAAUAUCACUUUGUUAAAUUUAUAAAAGUUAAAUCUAAUAUAUAUUCCUAAUUAGGUUUAGUUUAUGAAUCAUGACAUUUUAUUUUAUUGAUAUUCCUUAAUUGUAAUUACAAAACUUUAUGUUAUUAAGAGUCAUUACUUUUAUUAUGAUAAUUAAUAAUGACAAUAAAUAAAAUAUUAUCUCCAAUAAUAUUUACAUGUGAAAGAAUGAGAAAGAAAUUCUUCGUAAAUUUUUAUAUUUUUAUUUACAUGUACAAAAUUUCCCAAGCCUUAUAAAAUUUAAGUUUCACAAGAUUGUUUUCUUUUUAUUUUCGAAUAUCAUUGUUAAUUUCAUGAAAGUUAAAUCUAACAUAUAUUCCUAGUUAACUUUAGUUUAUGGAACAUGAAAAAUUAUUUUAUUGUUAUCUUUUGAUUGUAAUUAUGAAACUUUUAUAUUACUAAGAAUCAUUACUUAUAUUAUGAUAAUUAAUGGUGACAAUAAAUAAAAUAUUACGUCCAAAAAUAUUUAAUGGACAAAAUGAGAAAAAAUUCAUUAUAUGUUUAUAUAUUUUCAUUAUAAAAACAUAGUCUAGAAUAUUUUAACUUAAAAUUUUGUCACAAAAUGCCAUUAAUCUCUUAUAGUCUAAUGGUCGAUAUUGAAAGUCAAAGUAACUUUUUAUAAUAUUAUAUCAUUUACCAUUGAAUUGCAUGAAAUUAAUAGCUUAAUUUUGUGUUAAAAAUUUAAAUCAAAAUAUUUCUCAUUAUGUAGUUAUAUAGACAUCUAUAUUUUUCAAUAAUAAUUGUCGAACAAAAUAUUUCUCAUUUGUUAUGACUUAUAUAGUAUCAUUAAUAAAACAUAAAUAAAAGUAUUUUAUUACGAUACCUUCUAUUAUCAUCAUUGUUUAAGUAUUAAUAGUUUUGUAAUUAAAUUCAUAUCAAUACAAAUUAUUAUAAGACUUUAUGAAACUUCUUUAAAUAAAGUAUUAUUUAAAUAAUAUUACUUGUUAGUUAAAUUUAUUUUAAUGCUAUUAUUAUAUUUCUAACACUAAAUGUAAAAGAAAAAAAAUAAAACUAUAAAGUGAUAGAAUUAGUACAUAACAAUUUUAAUUCCAAAAUUAUUUGUAUUUAUCAAUGGAUAUAAAAAUAAUUUAAAGUAUGAAGAAAUAUCACAACUUGCAAAUUACUUGUUACAUAAUUAGUUAUCCAUUAAAAGUAAAUUAAUGGUAAAAAUUCUAAUAUUAAAUCCAAUAAUCCAUGAUUACUGAAUGUGGGAUUUUUAUCCGACAUAAUAUAAAUUUUCUUAAAAUAAAAAAAAUCUACAUUUACUUUCAAGCUAAAGGUUACUUGUUAUUAUUUAAAUAAUUAUUUUUUUUAUCCACUAUAUCAAAUGAAUAGUAGAGAUUAAAAUACUAAAAUUCAAGAAUCCACAACAAUUUCAUUAUUAAUACUGUAAAAACUCAUAUAACAUUAUAAAGAAAUCCUUUGUAAGUCACACCUAACAUCAUAACCAAAAGUGAAAAAAAAAAAAAAAUUGUAAGAGCACCCAAGAUUUUAUCGGCCAUUCCAUGGAUGAGGUGUGAAAAACUAUCAGGUGCAUACAUAAAAUUUAACAUCUAUUGCAUUCUGUAUCAAAUUCUUACCACGAGUUUGUGGACGUUAUCAUGAUUUGUUGAUAGUGACAACUAACUUCAUAACAAGAAGUGGCAAAAGAGAAAAAAAGAAAAGAAAAGAAAAGAAAUGAUAUUUUUCUAAGAAGACCCAAGUUCUUAUUGUCUGUUCCAUACAUAAGAUAUAAAAAACUAUUGGCCUCACAUAAAAUUUAAGACCUAUCACAUAGCGUAUUUUAUUUGGUGACACAUACAAUUGGACUAUGAAUUAUAUACCCCAAUUAUAUAAAUAUUAACUACAAAAUUGACCACACUCGAUCCAAACCCUAAAUAUAAUAUUAUUGCUACUUUGCAGGUAGAUAAUUGUCUGGUAACGACCAAGAAAACACUAUGUACUUAGCAUUUUAAUCUUAAACUUCUUUUACGUCAUGGAAAACUGGAAAUUAAUUUCAUUCAUCACUUUGAAGAAUGGUGAACCUGUGGUUUAGUCAAGUAGUUACAUGUGAAGAAAUUGAUGACUGGAAGGCUCUUUUUUUUAUUGAUGAUUAAUUACUUGUACAAUACUUUCUUAUAUACAAAGAUGGGUAUGGAAAUAUGGUAAGACUUCCUAUAGUCUAGGAAAAUAUUAAAAGAGAAUUAUAAUGCAACCAAAAUUACAGCUUCCACUUAUUACUAUUGUCCACAAUCUUGGCUGAUUCACAUGUAUUGAUGAUAAUUCCUUUUCUUAUCAUCUAAUUGCAUAUAUUGAUGAUGAUAAUGAUUCCUUUCCUUAUCAUCCCCCCUUAAUGUGGCGUGUGGAAGGGCUUCUUCACCAAAAUUGCUACGAAAUCUAAGGAAAGGAUACUUGCCAAGGGCUUUGUGAAGACAUCUGCUACUUGCAAAGUUGUAGGCAUAUAACAUGUGACAAUGGCACCAAUGGCAACUUUUAGGGAUGGCAAUGGGGUGGGGUGGGGUGGGGGUGAGGAGGCCUACCCCAUUCCCCACCCCAUAAAAAAUUUUACCCCCAUUCCCCACCCCAUUCCCCAAUAUAUUUAGUGGGGUGGGGAUGGGGAAUUCCCAUAUGGGGAAUGACUUCCCCAUCCCCACCCCAUUCCCCAUUUACUUAUUUAAUUAUUUUAUAAUAAGUAUGAAUACAUAAUUUCAAUAAAUAAAAAAUUAGAGACUUAAAUAAAAUAAAAUCAUCACCAUUUUAUAAAGUAUUUAAAUUAUUGAAAAAAACUUCGAAAGUUUGAAACAAUAUCUUGAAAUAAUAUCAAAACUACAAAAUGUUUGGAUAAAUAAUAACUAAAAGAACAAAAAUGUAUAGAAAAUGUUUCAAAUCCUUCUUUCUUUGGCUUCAUCUUCUCUUUAUCAUAUUCAUAUAGCCUAUGAUUGUCACUUUAAUUCUGCAAUAUCAAAUAAUAAAAUUAAUUACUGUUAGUUCCCUUUAAUUUUUUUAAAGAAAAUGUUUUGUCAUACAUCAUUUGUAAACACUUGUAAUAAAUAAGAUGAUUAACCUCAUUGAAAUAGAAUUUUACCUCAUCUGUAUCUUCAUAAAAUGAGUCGCAUCUAUUUUUUUGUAAAAGAACCAGAACUAGAACUUGAUAAUAUAAACAAACUCAUAUAUGAACAAUAGUUUGCUAAAAUCAAAUAAAAAUCAAAUAGAAUUAAUUACACACACCCUUUUAAUGCAAAUUAUUUAUUCAUACAACAUACCUUUAAUUUCUGCCCAUAACCAAUUUUGAGCACACAUUAAAGCCUCCAAUGUUUUAGGAUGUAAGCUGCUACGAUGUGGACUCACGAAUCUACCACUAGUACUAAAAGCAGACUCAGAAGUAACGGUAGAAACAGGAAUGGCUAAAAUAUCUCAGGCAAUAACAUGCAAAGUAGGAUAUUUGCUUCCGUUUGCUUUCCACCAAGCCAAUAUGUCAAAGUUAGGAGACCUAGGUAAGACAGGUUCCCCUAAAUAAUGGUCCAGCUCUGACUUAACAUGCUCAUCACUAGUGGUACUACUAACAAAUAAGUCAAAUGAUGCCAAAGGAUCCACUUUGCCCAAAACCAAUUCUAAUUGAAAAGAUGAAGCAAUUGUAGAUUGAUAACCUUAUUCUCUUGUAUUAUUGUUUAGGGUUAAGUAGGAAUUGUAUUUUAGGAAUUUUUUAUUAUUAUAAUAUAUUUAUUAAUUUAUAUUAGUUAAAAAUAAAAAAAAUUACUAAUUAAUAUUUUAAUUACUAAAAAAUUAGUAAAUAAAAAUUAAAAAUAUUUUCAUAUAAUGGGGAUUGGGGUGGGGAUAGGGUGGGGAGUGCAAAACCAAACCCCACCCCAUUAAUGAUUUGGGGAUUAUUUUUCACCCAUUCCCCACCCCAUUCCCCAAAAAUUAUUUAAAAUUCACCCCAUAUGGGGCGGGCUCCAAACCCAUGGAGAGUUUUGCCAUCCCUAGCAACUUUCUCUCCAACAAAGUGAUAAUCAAUUUCAAUAUAUUUGGAUCGAGCAUGGAAAACUAGAUUAGUAUACAUAUGAAGUGCACUAAUGUUAUAAAAAAGAGUUGAGGUGGUUUGUGUAGAAAUAUGUCAAUAUGUCAAAGAAGAAAAAUUAACCAAGUUAUUUCUGCAGCAGUUAAUGCAAGUGAACGAUACUUCACUUCAGAGCUGGAUCUUGACACUGUAGAUUAUCUUUAGAGGACCAUGAAAUACAAUUUGCACCUAGGUAAAUGCGGUAGCUAUUAGUACUAUGACGUGUAAUUGUACAUCCUCCCCAAUCGGCAUCACAAAAUCCUUUAAGACAUAGGGUGCUUUUGCGAAGAUACUGAAUAUUGUAGUCUAUUGUGCCUUUUAGAUAUCGUAGUAUCCUCUUGACAGAACGAAGAUUACCCACCCCAGGUUCUUAAAAAUUUUGGCAGACCUUGUUAGCAACAUGCACAAUGUCUGGCCAAGAGAAACUCAGAUAUUGUAAUCCUUCAAUAAGGCGUCGAUAUUCUGUUGGAUCCCUUGGGGUGCUAUCAAACUUGGUCGGCGGUAGCGUUAUAGCCAUUGGGUAGCUAAGUGUGAGCAUUCCAGCAUCUUUGCAUGAGCUACAAGGUCUUUUAUGUACUUGGUUUGCUUAUAAAAAUACCUUGUAAAAAUUGCUGAAUUUCAAGGCCAAGAAAAUAACGAAGCUCACCAAGAUCAUUUAAUGCAAAGUCCAUGCUUAGCCUCUAAAUAAGCUUGCCAAAAUAAUCUUCAUUGAUGGUAACAAUUUGUGUUGAAGUCAACAAAUUGUUGGUGCAAAUUUGUUAAAGUCAACAAAUUGUUAGUGCAACCAACAAUUGUAGAGAAGCAAAAUCAAAAUUGAUUUUGUAGCCGAAAAGAAAGAAUUGACAAAGGGGAUGAAUUUGAAAAAUAAUAAUAAUUAAAAAUUAUAUUUUUAAUUAUUUUAUUCUUUGCAUAGUAAUUCAUUUCUCCUAUAAAUAGCUAAGUAUUUCAUUCAUUUGAAAUCAUCCCAAAAUUGUUAAGCUUAUAAGUUUCUAAGCUUUUGAGAGAAGUGAGAGAAGUGUGUCUGUGGAAUUUAUCUUUCCUACAGAGUGUGAGAGUACUGGGUAUAUUUGGGUUUCUGGAAAGUGAGAUUCGUUACUCAAAUAUUAUACUCUAUUAAUUGUUAAAUAAACAAUUAUUCUUUCUUGCCUCCGUGGAUGUAGGUUUAAUUACCGAACCACGUAAUUCUUGUGUUCUUUAUUUUUCUAUAAUUAUUUUGGUGCGCUUGAUUCCGCAUUUCUCGCACAACAAGUGGUAUCAGAGCCGACGUUUCGUACUCGGGGGAUAUGGUACUGUUCCCGUAUACGGUACUAUUCACGUAUACGGUACUGUUCACAUACGGUACUGUUCACGAAUACGGUGGAGACGACCAUUUGUACUUGGGAGACAGUCUAUUGUAAGUAGUGUGUAUUUUUGCAUGUCUAGGAAAGUUCUGUCAACAAAGACGAUACGAGUCUAAGGAUCUGGUUUUUAAUUGGGACCAAGUUCCUGUCCAGUUUCCUGGGAACUUUCCUGGUGCAUUUAUUCACGCGAAAUUAACAUCAUAGAGACUGUUUUUCAAGUGGAAAUAGUUCGUUGAGAAAAUGGUAGAAGAUGAAACUUCCAGAAUUGGGGAGAGAUCUACCGAAACUAUUUCAGGAGACACUUCAGGUGGGAGGCGAGAUUUGUCAAAUCGCUAUUCAGCACCUAUUAUAGGAGGCCAGAAGAUCGAUGUUGAAAAGUUUGAUGGGAAAAUCAACUUCGGCAUGUGGAGGCGCGAAGUUAUGGAUGCCCUUAUUCAAAUCGAUCUUGAUGUUGUUCUGAAAAAUAAAAGACACUUGUAUGAUGAAGAAAUUUGGGAUUGUAUGAACGAGAAAGCUUGUGGUCAGAUCAGAUCUUGUUUGACCAAGGAGGUGAAAUACUUGGUGAAAGAUGAGGAGUGUGCGGUGACUUUGUGGCGUACAUUGGAGGAGAAGUACCUGCUGAAAAGUCCUGAAAAUCGUCUUCAUGCAAUGAGCCAAGUAUAUGGCUUUCGAAUGAAGCCUGGGGUGUCAAUGCACGAUCAUGUUUCAAGAUUUAAAAAGUUACUUGCUGAUUUGAAGAAUCUUGAUGAAGAUAUUAAGGAUGAAGUCAAAAGUGAUGUCCGUUUUGCCGUUUGAUCUCUCGUUUAUUGUGAAAUGACUAUGAUGCCCCUAAAAUACACAAAAUACUUAAUUAAAAUAAAACACACAUACUUAAAUUACAAGAACCUUAAAUACAUAAAAGUAAGGGUUGUUAGUAAGACUUGAAAUGUAAAAUGACUAUUUUCUCCUUUAUAAAUAUACAUUUUCUAACACUCAAUACAUCCCCCAACCAGCUUAUUGCUAGUCCCUAGUAAAUAAAGCGAAAACAAAAUUCAAACACAAUUUUUUUUUUAAUUUAAACAAUUUUGUUUAUUCAAUCAGACUAAUGAUAGCAAUCAAAUAAAAGUAUAAGCAUUAUCUCCAGUCUAAAGCAACAUCACACCCACAUCAACCAUCCACAUGAAUCAGCCUAGUAGAUUGUCAUAGCUACUUUCAAGAAUGACAUGUCAAACCCCAAAAUCUCACUAGAAGUAGUGACACUCUCACAAAGAAAUUAAACCCAAUAAAAAUAGUCACUCCAAUGAAUGGUACUUGAGAGAGAAAAUAAUAAAGAAGUGAUAUCACAUGCUCUCACCAAGAUGAAAGAAAUAUGCCCUCAACUUAGAAAUAAUACGAUCUCAAGUCAAAUAAAAAUGCUAGUCAACCCAAUUUAUUUAUUUUUAUUUAUUUAUUUUUUUUAAUGCACCACUACAUCUUUUUAGCCCAUAUAACUAGCUUCUACUUCAGAUUAUAUUUCCCUAAAAUCAAGAAGGACUUUUAUUAGGAAGUAACGUAGGCUAGUGACAUGGCUAACAAAGAAGGAAAAUAAGGAAAACAAAGUGUAUGUUUGAGAAAAAUACAGAGGAAUUUUUUUUCUUUUUUUUGGAAGUUGCAAGGUGGAUUUCACCUAUUAUUGUUAUUUUUUUUCUUUUUUUUUUUUUUUUGAAACAACGAUUUUUUUUUUUUUUUUUGCUUUUGUUAGGCAUAACUUCACUAAACAAAAUAUUUAUUUACAUUUUUCUCAAACAUAAAUAGGUGAUGGAACUUGUAAGAUAUUGGGUAAUACUCCAAAUCGGAGUGGGUCAAGAUGAUAAGUUUGACAAAGAAAUUUUUUUUUUUUAAGGGCUCAAAAGGGUUAACUAUGGAUAUUUGAUAAAAGGGAUGGCUAGAAAGGCUCAAAUGGAUCAAAGAUGACAUUUCCAUCGUCUUUUAGGGCUCUAAAUAAUCUAUCAUAUCUACUAGUUAGAUGUGCCUCCAUAUGUAGCAACACACAUUUUUUUUUUAUUUUUUUAAUUUUACAAUUUUUUUUUUUUAGGGUUAACUCAAAAGAAAUCUAGAGAUCGUGUAUACAAUAAUAAACUGAUAAGCUGUAUAAAGAAUGGGCAAAAUGGUUACUCUCCAAGAAAAAUGAUAAGCUCAAAAACUCACUUGGUACUUAUUAUGACAUGUUCAUUCCUUCAAGCAACUCAUAUUUGUCUCCGACAUCAACAUGUAAAGUAGCAAACAUAGCGUAACAUCACUUAAGAUCAAAGAUAAUACAAAUACUAAAAUUUGAAAUUAAUCAUGUCAUCCAAUGUUAAAACAAAUCACACAAUUUUUUUUUUAAACAACAUUAUACCCCCCAACCUAUCCUAAACAUGAAAGGAAAAUAUGCAUGCAGAAAUGUGAAAAUGAUGCAGAAAAACUAAUUAGAAAAUGAUAGAAAAUGAAAAUGGUUUUUUUUUUUUUUAACUUAAGAAGAUGCGUUUCUAGAGGCACUACACUUCAUAUUCAGCCAUUUUCGACUAAAAAAAAAAAUUGAAAAUGUAUAUUUAUAAAGGAGAAAUUAAAAAGAAGAAGAAAAAUGAACAUCAAAACAUAAUAAAGAAAAAGAAAAUGUCUGAAAUUUUUUUUGUUUUUUUUAAUUUUUUUUUUCAAAUGAUGAAGAUGCGUUUCUAGAGUCACUACACUCCAUAUUCAGCCAUCUUCAACACAAAAAGUUAGCAACAGUUAGUUUUUACAACAAAAAAUCAGUAAAAACUUAACCAAGAUUCCACAAUUGUCGACUAUUCCCUCCCCCCAACCAGAAUGAAACAUUGUCCUCAAUGUUGUAAAGGAAAGAAGUAGAGUUUAGAAGACAUCACCUGGGUGGUGCAACACAGAAGAAAAUAUUUACAGGCGGAGAGUUAAAUCUAAUUUUUACUUCUUACUGCGGCUACUGUUACCGUCAUUAUUUGAACGCUCCAACACAAAGGUCCAAGGGUCUGGCUCCGGUUUAUAAGCUUGUAACAUAUCAAGUAGCUCAUUAGCAGUGUGAGCACAAAUAAAAAGUUUUUUCGCACUGGAAUGAAUGAAGUAGUUUUUUAUUGCAUGGUUAAGAAAUGCGAUGAAGCCAUCAUAAAAAUUAUUGACAUUUAACAAACCGAUGGGUUUCUGGUGAAUGUGCAGAUGGGCCCAAGAUGCUAGUGUGAUAAGUGUCUCUAGUGUUGCAAGAUCUCCUGGAAGGAAAAUAAAAGCAUCAGCAUGAUUAAGCAUUUCAGUUAUUCUUUCUUGCAUACCUGAGACGACUAACUCUUCUCCAGUCGAUGAGUCAGACAAACUGCCCAAAGAUUUUAGAGCUCUUGUGAUGAUGCCUAACACUUGGCUUCCUCUGAUAAAAGCAGCUUCUGAGACCAAUUUUGAUAACCCUCGGUUAUCUCCUCCAUACACCAAGUGUAAUUUUCUCUCUGCUAUGCUUCGACCAAGAUCUAUGGCUGCAUCAACAAACUCUUUAUGUUUGUCAUAGGUAAAUCCAGAAAGCACACAAAUGUUCUUGAAUUGUCUAUUGGGAGUAGCUGCCAUUGGCAUAUUUCUCAAAAAUAAUUUGUGAGUGCUUAACAAAAAGUCAUAUAUUAAGAAUCUUGGUGACAGUGGGUCACAACUGUGUAUGAGGUGGUAUGUCAGUGUCAAAUAACGCGUAAAGCACAUGGAUCGCGAGUCAAAAAGGAAACAGUAAAAAGAAAAAGAAAUAAUGAUAAAAUAAAAUUAUUAAAGACAAUAAUGCAAAUGAUAAAACAAUAGUGAAAUAAAAUAACAGUGAAGUAAAAGGAUAUUUACAGGUAGUUGCGUCUGUGGCUCACAUCUUCCUCUGGUUUUAUGUCCAGAAACGGCUUGAACGCCCUCUAUGGGUCGAGGAUAGACUUCCCAUCUAGUUUUCUUAUAAACUGGCAAACAUGGUCGUUUAUAGUCAGAUUCCCGAGACUAUAUCAUGCAUGCUCUUUCUGGAAUAAUGGCCAUAACUGGAGAAUCACUCCUUGCACAUAUCCACUGAGAUGCGUUUUAAGUGAUAAAAGGAUAUCAUCCAAUGACUCCUUAUUCAAGCCAUCCCUAAUGAAUUGAAUCUUAUCUUCCCUGUUAUCAGACACCAUUCCUAAAGAACAUGGUUUUUUAUCGCAACUCAUUCUGGCACACUUAUGACAAGCAACAUAAAUUCUUCGAGCUCUUCGUUUUCUUGCAUAAUUUCAUUUACCACAACCAGGCAUGUAUGCAAUAAAUUUUAGAGGUAACUCACCUGCCAAUUGUACUUUAGCCUCGAUUAACCAACGGAUGUUAGCAGGUAUGUUAUUCCUCAUGAGCAAUCGCAUGCGUUCGGACUGGGCUUUAUAGAUCGUAAGGAGGGCAUUCUGAGGGAGUGAAGGGAAUCGCUUGUGAAGCUUCGCUAAAAUCUCGUUUUUGUCCAUACCUUCGCCUCAAAAUGUCAGUUAUUAUAGGAAACUGAAGUAACCGACUUGAUUGUCACGGAGUACCGUUAUCUGCUACUUCACCGGGGUAACAAACUAAAGCACACAAACAGAAAAACAAAUUAAAACACACAAAGAAAAUUAAAAUCGUCCUCUUAUUGAAUUUACUUCAAGCUCCAACUGGAUGUUGUAAACACUUUUCUCAAUGUCUCUGAGUUGGCUUUCUAAACCCUCAACAUAGGAUACUAACUCUGGUGGUUGCAGAGCCCAAAUACGAUGUGUUUUACAAAAUUGAAUCUGCCUUUUGAGAUGAGUUUUAACAUGUUGAAGUGGUUUAAGAAUGUUCAGUAGGAACGGUCUAAGUAUGGUACUCAUGAUUAACAAUGAUAAGAGAAAACUUAAUGGUAAAACAAACACACUUAUGCAAAAAUAAUUUCAAUUAGCAAAAGAAUAAUAAAAAGAAAGAAAGAAAAAUCAAACCACCGAAAAGAAAAAAAAUCAAUUCAAAUCUGGUAGGUCACUCAAAUUUAUUUCAGUGUCUUCUCCAUGUUGUUGGUACUCUAGAUAUGGCUUUAAUCUUUGACCAUUAACUUUAAAUGUGACACCGUUAUUUGGGUCCUUAAUUUCUAUUGCCCCAUGUGGAAAAACAGUAUGAACAAUAAAGGGACCAGACCAUCGAGAGCGUAACUUACCUGGGAAUAGGUGCAAGCGAUGAUUGAAUAAAAGCACUUUCUGACCCGGAGUGAAAGAUUUUCUCAUAAUUUUCUUGUCAUGGAAGACUUUCAUUCGUUACUUGUAAAUCUUGGCAUUUUCGUAUGCAUCAUUGCGAAUUUCUUCAAGUUCUGCCAGUUGUAAUCUUCUUUCUGAGCUGGCUUGCUGCAUGUCAAAGUUGAAUUUCUUGAUGGCCCAAUAUGCACGAUGCUCAAGUGCCACAUAUAGGUGGCAAGCUUUUCCAUACACUAGCUUGUAGGGUGACAUCCCAAUCGGGGUCUUGAAAGUCGUUCUAUAUGCCUAUAAUGCAUCAUCAAGACUUAAUGACCAAUCUUUUUUGUCCGACCUUACCGUCUUUUCUAAUAUGUGCUUUAUUUCUCGAUUGGAGAUCUCAACUUGGCCACUAGUUUGCGGAUGAUAUGGGCAAUUUGUGAGUGAUUGAAUACUUCGUCAAAAGAGCCUUGAAUGCUUUAUUACAAAAGUGGGCACCACCAUCACUGAUUAUCGCUCGAGGGAAUCCAAAACGUGAAACAAUGUUGCUUUUCAAAAAUCCUAUCACCACCUUAUGAUCAUUGGUUCUACAUGCAAUUGCUUCUACCCAUUUUGAUACGUAAUCAACAGCAACCAAUAUGUAUUGAUGGCCAAAAGAAGAGGGAAAGAGUCACAUGAAGUCGAUACCCCAUACGUCAAAAAUCUCUACCACUAAAAUUGGAUUUAGUGGCAUCAUGUUCCUUCGUGUAAUGCUCCUCAUUCGUUGACACCUAUCACAUGAAGAACAGAAAGUGUAAGCGUUUCGAAAUAUAGUUGGCCAAUAGAAACCACAUUGUAAAACUUUAGUUGCUGUUUUCUUAACGCUGAAAUGGCCUCCACAAGCUUGUUCAUGGCAGAAUGAAAGGAUAUUCUGAAUUUCAUUUUCUGGGACACAUCGUCUAAUAAUUUGAUCUGCACAAUACUUGAACAAAUACGGGUCAUCCCAAAAGAAAUUCUUUAUUUCUGCAAAGAAUUUAGCCUUGUCUUGCUUGGUCCAAUGCUCUGGAAGUUGACCUGUAACAAGAUAAUUAACGAUAUCAGCAUACCAUGGUAAUACUUCCACACUCAUUAAUUGUUCAUCUGGAAAUGACUCAUUCAAUGGUAAUGUUUCCAUAAUUGUGUCAAAAUGGAGACGAGAGAGAUGGUCUGCCACAACAUUUUCUGUGUCUUUCUUAUCUUUAAAUUCCAAGUCGAAUUCCUGCAAAAGUAACACCCAACGAAUUAGUCUAGCUUUUGCAUCUUUUUUUGUGAGAAGAUAUUUAAGAGCAGCAUGAUCUGCGAACACAAUUAUUUUACAACCAAUGAGAUAAGAUCGAAAUUUUUCUAAUGCAAACACUACUGCUAGCAUUUCUUUUUUAGUAGUUGAAUAAUUCGACUGUGCAUCAUUGAAUGUCAUACUAGCAUAGUAAAUAACAUGGGGAAUUUGAUCAACUUUUUGUCCUAAUAUUGCUCCUACUGCAUAAUCAGAUGCAUCACACAUGAGCUCGAAUGGUAAGCUCCAAUUUGGGGGCUGGAUGAUGGGUGAUGAUGUCAACAAUUGCUUUAAUUUUUCAAAAGCCAUAAGACAUGAAUCAUUAAAGAUAAAAGGUACAUCUUUAGCAAGUAAAUUGCAUACGGGUAUAGAAACUUUGCUGAAAUCUUUAAUGAAACGUCUAUAGAAACCAGCAUGCCCAAGGAAAGAUCUUAUUUCUCUGACUGUUUUGGGUAGAGGAAGAUUAGAAAUGAGAUCCACCUUGGCUUUGUCAACCUCAAUACCUUUGCUCGAAAUGAUGUGACCGAGAACAAUACAUUGCUUUACCAUAAAAUGGCACUUCUCCCAAUUUAAGACUAAGUUCUUCUCGAUAUAUCUCUGCAUAACUAGUGUUAGAUGAUGUAAACAUUGCUCAAAUGAGUCACCAAAGGCAGAAAAAUCAUCCAUAAAGACUUUAAGGAAUCAUUCAAUCAUAUCAGAAAAAAUGCUCAACAUGCAUCGUUGAAAUGGCAUUCUCCUAUAUGCAAAUGUGCCAAAAGGGCAAGUGAAAGUAGUUUUUUCUUGAUCUUUUGGUGCUAUGGGAAUAUGAUUAUAUCCUGAGUAGCCAUCUAGAAAGCAAUAAAAUUCAUGGCCUGCCAAUCUAUCAAGCAUUUGAUCGAUAAAUGGUAAAGGAAAAUGGUCUUUACGUGUGACAGAAUUCAACUUUAUAUAAUCAAUGCAUACACGCCAUCCUGUAGUCAUUCUAGUUGGUAUGAAUUCAUUAUCGGCAUUCGUAACUACUGUGACUCCUGACUUUUUGGGGACAACUUGUACAGGACUGACCCACGAACUAUCAGAAAUUGGGUAAAUGAUACCUGCGUCUAAUGGCUUAAGGACUUCAGUUCUAACAACUUCUUUCAUGUUAGGAUUUAACCGACGUUGCAUUUCCCUAGUAGGUUUAGCAUUUUCAUCAAGGUGAAUGUAAUGCAUGCAGUCUACUGGGUUUAUAUAUUUAAUGUCUGCUAUGGUCCAUCUUAAUGCUCCUUUGUGCUCUUUUAAAACAUCCAACAACUUACCUUUUUGUUCGUCAUUGAGGAAUGAUACGAUGAUUACCGGCAUAGUAUUUUCUUCUCCUAAAAAUGCAUAUUCCAAAGUGUUGGGUAAUGGUUUGAGCUCGCGUUUCAGUGCUGAUUCUGAUGAUAUGAUGAGUUUCUUUUCUAAUGGUGCUAGUUGUUCAACUCUUGACUUCCAUUUAUUAGUGUCCAUGGAUGGUGCUGAGUCAAGUAGGGCGUUGACCUCAUCGACUGAUCUGUCAAUAUCAAAAUCCAAACCAACGUGAGUUAAGCAUGUUUGUAAAUGAUCAUCACUAAGGUUUGAAAGAAAAGUAUUAUCAACUAUUGUUUCUAUUAAAUCCACAUCAACAAUUCCAUCAUCUGUGUUGUGAGGUUGCUUGGCAAUGUUGAAGAUGUUUAGCUCCAUAGUCAUGUUGCCGAAGGACAACUGCAUAUUUCCAGUCCUGCAUUAAAUGUGAGCAUCCGUAGUUGCCAAAAAAGGUCGGCCUAGAAUAAUGGGGAUGUGUUUCCUUGAAUCAUGUAUUGGUUGAGUGUCAAUUACAAUGAAAUCAACAGGAAAAUAAAACUUGUCUAUCUGGAUAAGUACGUCCUCCACAAUACCACGAGGUAUUUUCGUGGACCGAUCUGCAAGUUGUAACACCACUAGAGUUGAGUGUAAUUCUCUCAGUCCAAGUUUCACGAAUACAGAGUAAAACAACAAAUUUACACUAGCUCAUAAAUCCAACAAAACAUUCUCAAUUGUGUGGUUCCCUAUAUUACAUGAGAUAGUGGGGGAGCCUGGGUCUUUGCAUUUUAAAGGAAUUUUGUGUUGGAGUAAAGAACUAACGUUUUCUGUUAAAAAUGCCUUCUUUUGAACAUGAAUAUUUCUCUUUUUAAUACAAAGGUCUUUAAGAAAUUGGGCAUAAGAUGAAAUUUGUUUUAUAGCAUCAAGCAAAGGGAUGUUAACACUUACCUGUUUGAAGAUUUCAAAAAUCUUACCUGUGGAUUUUCUCUUCUUUCCUUUAGCUAACCUCUGAGGAAAUGGAGAUUUGGGAACAUAUUCUCGUGGGUUGGUUUCUUUUUUCUCUUCCGAUGGUGAGUCCUCAACAUUCACAGGCACAAUUUGAUUUUCUUUUGUCACCGGCAUCUCCACUUUGUUGUCGACUUCUUUUUCUUUUUGCAAGGUCAUGACUGUUUUGACCUCUCCGUGUUGGUGUGGUGAACUGGUACUUGCUUCAUGCACUCCUUUAGGAUUAGGCACUGGUUGACUUGGAAACUUGCCUUUCUCAACAGUCAUUGCCAAGGUCUGAAUUGAAGAAGCAAGCUGUCCCACCAUCUUCUCGAGGCUUGAAACUGAUUGGGCUUGUGAGUUGAAGCCUUCUCUCAACUCAUUUCGUAGUCCAUCAAUGGUGCGGUUUUGUUGCUCAAUCGUAGAGUGAGUAACAUUCUUGAAAUUCUGGAAUGCAUCCUCCCAUGGUCUGGGUUGAGAGUAGUUCUGGUUCUGAUUGUAUGGUCUAAAUGGUGGCUGAGAGGCUUGAGGAACUUGGGGAAUUGGUUGUAUUGGUAGAGCUGGAGCUGCUGGUCCAUUCUGUUGGAAUCCUUGAGACCAUGAAAAAUUAGGGUGGUCUCUCCAUCCAGGAUUAUAUGUGUUGGAGUAUGAGUUGUAAUUUGAUGGCUUUCUCAUUACACCUAUGGCAUUGACUUGAUCUGGAUAUGAGUCAGGGUCAUGUAGUUCUGUUGAUUUAGCAGUCGAUAACGAUGCUAUUUGUCGAGAGAGACUUUCAACUAUCUCUUUGACUUCUUUGAUUCCCGAAGUUGACUCGCCAAUGGGAACCUCAUUCACUCCUUUAAUUCUUUUAGUGUUCUUGAGCGAUCGACUCCGUUGUUGGGAAUUAUCCACUUGUCGCUGGAAGAAUUCCCAAAUCUCUGAUGCACUUUUUGACAUUAGCUCUCCUCCACUUGUCGCCAUUAGCCAUUCUUGCACAUUUGGCAAUAAUUCCUCCAAAAAGUAUUGGCAUUGGUGCCAUUUCUCAUACCCAUGAUGUGGACACUUCAAAAGUAGCUCAUUGAAUCGCUCUCAUGUUUCGAAAAACUGCUCGUCCCUCUUUGGGUAAACUAUGAGAUUUCCAUGCGAAUAGCAUUGGUUUUAUGCACUGGGAAAUAUUUAUUCAAAAAUUUCGUUACCAUUUGUUCCCAUGAUGUAAUGCUAUUAGCAGGCAAAGUAUUUAACCAUGAACGAGCUCUAUCCUUUAAAGAAAAUGUGAAUAAUCUAAGUUUAACAUCAUCAUCAAAAAAAUUAUCAUAUUUAAAUGUUUGACAAAUAGCAUGAAAAUCAUUCAAAUGAUUAUAUGGGUCCUCAUUUUGUAGGCCAUAGAAUGUUGGGAGACAAUUUAGCACACUAGGUUUUAGUUCAAAACUCCUAGCAGCUACAUUUGGGUAUCUUAUGCAUGAUGUGCUCAAAUUAGCUAAGGGACUAAAGUAGUCCUUAAAUGGCCUCUCCUGUGGUGUUUGUUAUUGCAAAUCCAUUUUGUUUUUAAAGUGUUUGUGUGUGCGCAGUGUUUUCUCAAGUUCAAGAUCUAUAGGCUCAAAAUUAGGUAACAAUGACAUUCGACCAUGCAUGCAAUGAAUACAAAAAAAAUGAGAACAAAAUUAAUAAAAAUAAAUAAACAAGAAAGAGAAAUUACGGUACUAACCUUAUUACUCUGUUAAAACCUUUCUAUAAAAACACACUAAAAAAAAUCAUGAAAUAAAUUAACUAAAAAUUAAAUUAAAAAGAUAAACAAAAAUUACAAAACAAAAAAAACUUAAAAAUUAAAUUGCAAAAUUGUAAAGAAUAGAGAAAGAAAAUAAAUUAUUACCUCUAAAUGCAGAUUCACUUUUUUUUCUCUCUUUUUUUUAAUAAGAAAAAAAUACAAGAAAACAAAUAAAAGAAAUUAUUCACAAAAAUUAAUUCUAUGAAUUAAAAUUACUUACCUCCCCGGCAACGGCGCCAAAAACCUGUUGUGCAAAUUUUAUUGAACUCACAAGUGCACGAAUCUAUUGUAGUAUAAAUCAAUGGUGACGAGUGUCGAUCCCACGAGGAGGUGUAUUUUAAUUGUGUGUAGAAUUAAUUUUGUAAAUGGGUGGUUGGAUUUGUGAUGAAAAUGAUUUGGAUUAUCCUAAAAUUCGAAUUAAAAUGGCAAGAAUAAAUUGAAGUGAAAAUCUAUUAAAUUGACGUACUUGGAUAUCUGCAUCCGUAUCAACAUGCACCAUGGGCUAAAUAUUCCUUAUUAAUACCAAUUAAAUCAUGAGGGGGGAAUCCACACCUCAUGAACCACACUCUAAUCAAUAUGGUGCUAAGGGCUUAUCGUGCCAAAUAAUAAUAACAUUGUACUAGAGAGUCGGUGAAACCAAUGCGGUAUCUAGACAAGAUUAUUAUUAUUUGUCGACGAAAAGUCAAAUCAUCCACAAAAAUUAGAGGGGAAGAGAAAGUAAAUUUACCAAAUAAAGCCCAUGACACAUGUUGAGACUUCACCUUCAACCCAAGCUUGAAAGAAAAUUAGCUACUCAUAAUUGAACUAUGGGUAAAAUAGGAAUUUAUUAAAAUACGUAGAAAAUACAAGAUGGAGAAGGAAUUACAGAAAAUGGAGCCCAAAAAUGGAUUCCGAGAUCCCCAAUUAGGGGGGGGGGAGAGCCCCAUUUUUAUAGAUACAUUGAGUAAAUCAUGGCUAUCGGAUCAAAAACAUUUCGGAAGCUCAGGAUUGCGCCACGUCAUCAAUCAACAGUACGCGGUUUGACCACGCAGUUGAACAGUAACACGGUUUGACCCGGCUUGAACAGUAACGCGGUUUGGUUGAAAAUAAUCUUGUGUAAUGCAUGUACCGUACGCGAGAUUUUUGGUCCACUGAUAUGCUGCCACGUCACCAUCAACAGUAAAUAAGAAUUUUAGUCCAACAGAAACGUGACACCUCAUCAGUCAAUGCCACAUCAUCGGUCAAUGCCACGUCAUCGAUCCGUCUAUGUGAACAGUGUCGUGAACAGUAACGUAGACAGUACAGUAUAUGUGAAUAGUACCGUAUAUGUGAAUAGUACCAUUUUUCCUUUUAUACUCCUCCUAAGGUUUUCGACCGUCCUGAGUUCAAAAGUGAUGUCCGUUUUGCCAUCUGAUCUCUCGUUUAUUGUGAAAUGACUAUACAUGCCCUUAAAAUACAUAAAAUACUUAAUUAAAAUAAAACACACAUAAUUAAAUUACAAGAAGCUGAAAUACAUAAAAGUAAGGGUUGUUAGUAAGACUUGAAAUGUAAAAUGACAAUUUUCUCCUUUAUAAAUAUACAUUUUCUAACACUCAAUAGGCACCAUCAUCUUUGAACAAACCACCAAAUCCUAUUUCUCAUCCAUCAAAUUAAUCUAAUCAUCAACAACAGCCUUUGCCAACCACAAACAACCAAUCACUAUUAUUGCUGCUGCAUAAGUCACCAGUGUCAAUGCAACGAUCACCACAAUUCACCAACUGAGCCACUAUCACUGUUUCCAACCAUCCAAGCUCACCUCGCUUGACACAAUUCGAUCAUGCAACCCAUGCAACAACAUUAAGCAACCGCUAUCAGUCACAAACUACUGCCAAUCAGUCCACCAUCACUGACCAACCUGCCAUUGUUGACCAUGUAAAGUCAUUCCAAACUGCUACCAAUCAUGCAAUGCAUAAUGAAAGGCAACCAAGUCCAAUUGAGUGUGCUCCCCACGCAUGCUACAACUAACAAAAAAGUUUGGCAACAAAUGAGCCACUUUUGGCAUCCCAUGAUGGGCUGCCACCUAUUUCCUUUUUUCCCACACAUGUAUCCAACUUUCUAGCUCAUGCUGUAAUCCCCACAAUAGUCACGCAUGAGACAUUUUCAUAAAUCGCACCUCAUACCACAAAACCAUGUGACUAUAGCUCAAACUAUACACACUCACCUCAAGCCCAUUUGGCUUUUCAAGCUCAUUCGGCUUUCAUCACCCUUUAAAAAAUGCCCCCCACUCAGAUUUUAAAUACUACCCAUAAUGACCAAACAUCCCAAAAUGCCUCCCAACUCUCAACCCUUUCCGAAGCCACUAUUUGCCAAUAUCAUAAAAUCGAUAACAGUUUAGAAUAACAAUGCUUUAAAGCAAUAUUUGAAAUCCUUUUUGGAUACUGUGCCGGGAUUACCCACUCGAACAUCCCCAUCAAGCCAACUAAUAUCCACCAUGAAGAGCCAAUAAUGCUUUUUUCUAAGUUAGAAGAGCAGUCCAUGGCGGCACCCUACAAACUCUCACUCAUCGGUAAUGUUUUCUUUCGGGCGAUCUAAAAUGCCAAUUAUUCGUCAAUGUUUUACAUUAUUGGGCUUGAAAGGAAAUGCUCAAGUCCUAUUACUCGAUUCGAGACAUAUCUUGGUUAAUCUCGAGCUUGAGGAAGAUUAUUCUCGCAUUUGGAUAAGACAAUCCUGGUAUAUUAGUGGUCGUGCAAUGUACAUAUUUAAAUUGACCACUAAUUUUUCGAUGUUCUAAGGAAUCUCUUAUUGUUUCAAUUUGGGCAUCCUUACAUUUUUUACCGAUACAUUAUAUCCAUUGAAAACUAGCUCUAAUCUUUAUUGCCAGUGCUAUUGGUAAGCUUUUAAGGGUAGAUCAUGCUACCGUUGCUGUCAUCAGGCCAUCAUCGGCACAAGUCCUAAUUAAGUACGGCAUCUCCCGACCUCUAAUUCCUCAAAUUUGGAUUGGGGUGGUUGAUUUUGGUUUCUAACAUAAGGUCAUUUUCGAGCGGAUCCAUGCCCAUUGUGCCUCAUACAAACACCUUGUCCAUUUCGCUGAAAAGUGCUUCCUUGCUAACCCUGGGCUUCAGAAACCCCAAUGGCAUAGUGGAGAAACUCAGGCCACAAGAGGUUGCAACUAGGCUUCUGUUGAUCAUGGUCAGAUUUCUGGCUGGACUUCCCCACUUAUUACUAGUAUUGCCCCUUUUGCUUAGGCUUUGGGUGUUCAGAAUUCAGUUUUUAAGCCUCGAGCUCAAGAUAAUUGUGGCUUAAAGGAUUCUGUUGCUCUGAGUGGUGAUACAUAGGAGUGUGUUGAUGACGUUAUCCCUCCUCCUUUUGUCUCAAAUGUUCUGGCAUAAAAGGCAUCCGCAUGCACUACAUUCUUCCAAAAUAUGAUAGAUGAUAUUCACACUGGGGUUGUGGGCUUCAAUUCCCACUCUAGGUUAAUACUUGUUCAACCUAGUGAGGAGAUUAGUGAUGAUCCCCACAUAGAUUUAUGUCAUAUUGUGAACUACAAUUCUCAUAAUGAUGAGGAUUUAAGUUUUGAUGGUCCAAUGGAUGAUGGAUAUUUGUUAUCAACUCUUGAGGAUAGUAGAAGACCCUAGUCUAGAUUUUAGUGUUGAUGGCCAACAAUCAAGGAAGGGCACCAAACCAAUUACUGGCCGUAAGUAUCAUAAAAAAUAAUAUGGCCAAAUGCAUUAGUCUGUUAUUAUGUUUACAUUUGUUAGGCUUUGCUUUAAAUCUUUUUUUGUAUUGUUUUUUAGUUUAAAGGUUUUAGUCUAUGUCUCUCUAUAUAUAUUUUAUCUUUAUCGGAUUUAUAUGACAAAUAUGAGUCCAGUCUAACCCCCAACUUUUUGGUGGUUUAAAAUAAAAAAAAAAGAAUGUGGAAAUAUAAUUUGCUAUGUUACUCUAAGGCCUAUGAGAGAUUCAAAGAGGAACUUCAAUUUUGAAAAAAAAAAUGAUUUUUAAAUUUUUUUUUCUUUUUUGGGUGUUUGGCAAGCGCUAAGUCUAGGGGUGGGACUUUCGGUUUACAAUUCAGUUUUUCUGAUUUUCGGUUUAAUUUACAACCCGUUUGGGUUAAAAAAUUAUUUCGGUUCGGUUUGAAAUUUGGUUCGGUUCGGGUCGGAUUCGUAAUUCGGUUCGGUUUCGGGUUGUGAAUUUUGGGUUGCAAAUCGGUUUGGGUUAUUAAUUCGGUUCCGGUUAAUAAAUCGGGUCAAACUAAUAUUAGCCAAAAAUAAUCAAAUUAAAUAGCAAAAUAAGCAAAUCAAAUAACAAAAUAAGCAAAUGAUGAAAAUAUUCAACAAAUGAUGAAAUUUUCAGUUCAUCAAAACUCCAAAUUGAAAAUACUCUACUACAAUAAAGAAAGUAACUUCCUAAUUCCAAUUCCAAUUCCAAUUCCCAAGUCAUGAGGUUAAUCCAAAUAAAUAAAAACAACCAUCAAACUAUUGAAUUAAAGUAAAACCAUCUCUAUUUCUCCAUCAACAAACAGAAAAUGAUGAAGCAAAUCAGUCCAUUCUGCAAAAAAAAAAAAAAAAACAAACCAGUUAAUUUCUCCAUCAACAAAUAGAAAAACAAAAUAUCAUAGUAAAAAAAAUUUUGUUCUAGAACAUACAAUUGAUGUUAAUUUGCAAGUAGUGGCUGAGAAUAUUUAAACAAGAAGCCAAAAAGCAAAAAGAUGAUAAUCAAGAGAUUGACAUCUACAUAUUACAGCCUUUUUAUUUGCUUGUGGGCAUCGAGCAAAUUAAUACAAAGAGAAGGUUUUAAAACAAGGGAUGACCAGUCGAUUCAUGAUCACCAUGCACCAUAAAGCCAACAUCACUACCAUAACCACCUAUGAUUAUGAUCUCAAGUUUUAGUGCUUUUGGAAAGUGUGUGUGGAUGUGGGUCAAACAACACAGUACACAACAAUGCAAGAAAAUGCAGCCAAGCAAAAUUUAUAAUUGACUUACCUAGCGAAACGAGUGAACAAUGAGCUGCGACAACGUGGUUGUAGGCGAUUUGCUAUGCUGGCGAGUGAUGACGGUAGGCUAAUGGCAAAGGAGUGGUCGUGACUUGUGUGAGAGAGCCGAGACAAAAUGUUACGACAUUUUCCCUUAAGAUUGAUUUGCCUUUAUUCUAGCUAGUUGUUUUCUUAUUUAAUUGUUUCCUUUAUUAGCUUAUUUUCUUGUUUUCUCUGUAUAAGAAGAACUCGAUUGGGGCGUUAAUUUUUUUUAUCAGAAAAAAGAUAAUAAAACUUCAAGAGUUUUGUUUUUUUGGCUCUACCUCUUUAAUCUUAAGAUUUGGUAUUAGAGCUCGAUUUUGGCACCAAUAUGGCUGACAGAACGAAAGCACAAGAGUAAAAGCGUGUGGAUGAGUCUCUAAAGCAGUUGCGGGAGACCUCAGAAAAACACGGCCUUUUUUUAUUGGAUUUUUCUAAGAUGAUGGCUGCUAUAAGCCUAAAACUUCAUCAAUCCACAACAACGAAGACAUGAGAUUCCAACAAUGGGGGAAGUACUUCAACCAAUAGGGGUUUGAAUAAUAAUCAUACUAGUAAGAAUUCCAUUCAAACUCGAUUUUCCAAACUAAAUUUUCCCAAAUUCUAGGGUGAAAAUCUUAGUGGGUGGAUUUACAAGUUUCACUAUUUUUUCAACAUCAAUGGAAUUGUUAAAAAAGAGAAAAUAGAGAAGGCGUCGAUCGAUUUGGAGGGACAUGCAUUUGAAUGGUUUCAGGGGUAUGAAGCUGGCCAUGAGAAUAUCAACUGGGAGAGUUUUUCUACAAAUGUAGUUGCUCGUUUUGGUCCUAGUGCUUAUGAUAGUCCAGUUGGGUAAUUAACCAAGUUGAAGCAAACUAUUGUAGUGAAAGCCUAUCAAGAACAAUUUGAGGCAUUGAUGGCUAAAACGAAAGGGUUGCCAGAGGAUUUCUUUGUUCAAUGUUUCAUUAGUGGCUUGAAUGAUUCCAUUAAGAACCAAGUCACCAUGUUUCAACUGAACACUCUGACCUAAGCCAUUGGUUUAGCCUUGCUAUAAGAAUGAGCUAUGGAAGCAAUUCAUAAGGAGGCUAAAGGGGUUAACAAAGGUGGGGUGAGUACAAUGAAUUCUUUUGUACCGAAAAAGUCAGACAAUAGCUGAUUACCACCUGUGAAACGGAUUUCUGCAGCAGAGAUGCAAGAGACGAGAGAAAAAAAAAAGCUUUGUUAUUAUCGUGAUGAGAAGUAUGAGCAUGGUCAUGUUUGCAAACAUAAACAUAUUUAUCUAUUAUAAGGCGAAGAUAGCGAGGGUGAAGAGCCAAAUGAGGUUGACAAAGUGGAAGGAAAAGAAGAAUCUCAAGUUUUAUUUAUUGCCGUAUCUAGGUCUAGCACUCACCAAACUAUAAGAAUUUAUGGGAGCAUAAAAAAGAAAGCUAUCACCAUACUCAUUGAUUCUGGAAGUACUCACAACUUCCUUGACCCUACAGUUGCAAAAAGAACAGGCUGCAAAAUUCAACGUGUUAGUCUAAUGACUGUAGCAGUGGCAGAUGGAACCAAAAUAAUUAGUGAUGCUAUUUGCCGGCAAUUGAAGUGGAAUAUGCAAGAAGAGGAAUUCUGAGCUAAUUUAAGGCUCUACCAUUAGGAAGAUGCGAUAUGGUUCUUGAAAUACAAUGGCUUUUUGAAUUGGGACCUGUAUUAUGGGACUUCAAGGAAUUGACGAUGGAAUUUUCUAUUGGCGAUUGAAAUUUUGCACUGAAAGGUGAUACACCGGGCCCUACUAAAAUGGUUUCACCAAAGCACAUCCAGAGGGAACUUCAACAUAGUCUCAAGCAUCAGCAGCUCACAUUUUUUCUAUCUAAGUAGAAGAUGAGAAAGCAAAAAAGCAAACAAAGAACCAGAGGAUCUGGAGCAAGUAUUGCAUCAUUAUAGGAAGGUUUUUGAUGAGCCGAAAGGGGUUACCUCCUCAAAGGGAACAUGACCAUAAAAGCCCCCUUGAACCUGGAUCUACACCACCCAAUAUACGUCCAUAUAAGUAUCCUUAUGUGCAGAAAAGUGAGAUUGAAAAACUAGUACAGGAAAUGCUCGAAAAUGGCACAAUUCGGCACAAUGUGAGUCCUUUCUCUUCACUUGUGUUAUUGGUCAAGAAGAAAGAUGAAACUUUAAAAAUGUGCAUGGACUAUAGAGCCCUCAACAAAAUUACCAUAAAAGAUAUGUUUCCUAUUCUUGUCAUUGAUGAGUUGUUGGAUGAAUUAUAUGGAGUUACAUAUUUUUCUAAGCUUGAUCUCUAAUCUAGCUACCAUUAAAUCAAAGUGCAUUCUUCUUAUAUUCAUAAGACUGCUUUUAGGACCCAUGAGGGGCACUAUGAAUUUGUAGUCAUGCCUUUUGUGCUAACUAAUGCUCUAUCGACUUUUCAGAGCUUGAUGAAUGAGAUUUUUAAACCCUUUCUAAGGAAAUUUGUCCUAGUAUUUUUUUUUAUGAUAUCUUAAUUUACAGUAGUGAUUAGAAGGAACACUUAGAGCACUUGGAAUUGGUGUUUGGAAUAUUGACUCAGAACCAAUUAUUUGUUAAAAAAUCUGUGGUUUUGGUAAAAAGAAGAUUGAGUAUUUGGGGCAUGUAAUUUCAGAGGAAGGAGUUGCCACUAAUCCUGUAAAAAUUCAAAACAUGUUGCAAUGGCCUAAACCUAAGUCCCUCAAGUCUUUAAGGGGUUUUUUUAGGCUCACAGAUUAUUACCGGCGGUUCAUUAAAGAUAAUUUUCAUGUUGAAGAAAGAUAAUUUUUAGUGGACUCAAGCUGUAGAAGACGCCUUUAACCAGCUCAAACACAUCAUGUGUGCGGCACCAGUAUUGGCAAUGCCAGACUUCUAGAAAAAUUUUGUGAUUGAGUUUGAUGCGUCUGGAAAUGGGAUAGGAGCAGUAUUGCUGCAAGAGGGCAAACCCAUAGCUUACUUGAGCAAGGCUUUAGCAUCGAAAAUUUGGGUCUUUUGACAUACAAAAAAAAAAUAUUGCCUGCUGUCAUGGCAGUACAAAAAUGGAGGCCAUAUGUGGUAGGGAAGCACUUUAAGAUAAUCAUUGAUCAUCUCAGCCUAAAGUUCCUUUUAGAUCAAUGAGAUUCAACUCCGAUGCAACAUAAAUGGCUCACCAAAUUAGCUGGUUAUGACUAUGAAAUUGUCUACUGUAGUAGCAAAGAGAAUACAGCUGCAAAUGCCUUAUCAAGGGUGCAUGAGGAAAUGAAAGAACUAACUAUUAUGGCCUUGUCAUUUCCAAUAGCAAAUUGGUUGGGCGUGCUACAAGAUGAAUGGAAGAAAGAUGAGAAUAUACAAAAACUCAUCCAUGAGAUUCAAGUGGAUCAGAAUUUACACUCUAAAUUUACUUGGAUAGAUAAUCAGCUAAGAUACAAAGGAAAGUUGUGGCUAAAAGAUCAAUCUAAAAUAAAGAAGAUGAUAUUGCAAGAAGCUUAUGGUAAAGUAAAAGGUGGACAUUCGGGGGGUAAAGAAAACAUUAGAAAGAGUACGACGAGCUUUUUAUUAGAAGAAGAUGAGAAGACAAGUGUGUAAAUUUGUAGGUGAGUGUGACACAUGCUAGAGAAAUAAGGCUGAAACUAUAGCUUCUUUGGGACUUUUACAGCCGUUGUCAAUGCUAGAAUUGACUUGGUCUGACAUUUCCAUGGAUUUUAUAGAAGGCCUUCCGAAAUCUCUUGGUAAUGAGGUUAUCCUGGUGGUGGUUGAUAGACUAAGCAAAUAUGCUCACUCCUUGGCAUUAACACAGUAAAGGAUGUAGCUCAAGUGUUAUUAGAUAACAUUUAUAAGCUUCAUGGCCUACCAAAGACCAUAAUAAGCGAUCAAGAUCAAAUUUUCACAAGUCAAUUCUGGAAAAAUCUUUUCACUCUACAAGGUACUUGAUUACUUAUGAGCAUAUCUUAUCAUCUGAAGACAGAUAAUCAGACUUAAAUAGUUAAUAAGUGUUUGGAGCAAUACUUGAGGUGCAUGACUAGAGACAAGCCAAAGGAGUGGAGUAAAUGGUUGCCGCUUACUGAGUAGUGGUACAACACUUCAUUUCAUUUCUCUUCUAAGAUGACCCCAUUUGAGGUUGUCUACGGCAGGGAGCCUCCUACUUAUACUACUUACAUUCCCAGCAAGACUUUCGUAGCAUUUGUGGACCAAGAUUUAAGAGACAGAGACUCAAUGAUUCGCCUUCUCAAGGAGAACUUGCAUCAAGCUCAAAGAAAAAUGAAAAAAAAAUGGCGAAUAAGCAUUGGACAAAAAGGAAAUUCAAGGUAAAUGAUUGGGUUUAUCUUCGGCUGCAGCCUUUCAAACAAGCUUCUCUAGCUCUUUGGAUAGAUAACAAGUUGGCUCUUAAGUUCUACGAACCUUACAAGGUGCUUCAAAAGAUUGGACAGGUCGUCUACAAGCUAGAUAUUCCUUCACACUCCAAAAUCCAUCCAGUUUUUCACGUUUCUUACUUGAAGAAAAAAUUAGGAGCUGUUAAUGUUCAGCAGACAGAACUGCCUACAAUCCAAGAUGAUGAGAGGAUGCAGCUGGAGCCGCUAGCAUUGUUAGAGAGAUGUACGGUUAAGAGAAACAACAGGCUUGUAGUUCAAUGGUUGAUUCAUUGGACUAAUUCUUUUCUGAGGAUACUAUAUGGGAAGAUGCUUACAUUAUUCAGCAGAAAUUUCCAGAAUUUAAGCCUUGAGGACAAGGCUUCCUGAACAGAGGGGGAAAUGUUACAACAUUUUCCUUUUAAGAUUGAUUUGCCUUGAUUCUAGCUAGUUGUUUCCAUAUUUAGUUAUAUCAUUUAUUAGCUUAUUUUCUUGUUUUCUCUGUAUAAGAAGAACUCAAUUGGGGGGUUAAUUUUUUUUAUCAGAAAAAACUUAAUAAAACUUCAAGAGUUUUGUUUUUUUGGCUCUACCUCUUUGAUCUUAAGACGAAAUUGGACAGUGAAGACAUGAUGCGUGAGGUAGUGGUGUGUUGUCGUGGUGCAGCGACGUCGACGUGGAGCAGUAGAGAAACUACCGGCGGGGAUCGAUUUUGGUUAGGGUUUGGGAAUUGGGAUUUUGGAUAGGGUGUUGGAGUCGGGUUUGUGAGAACUGAGAAAUUCAAUUGGUUAUGAUGCAAUUGGAAAGAUAGAAAUGGUUAAACGGGUUUGGGAAUUGAGUUUUUGAAUUUUUUUUUUUGUCUGAGGAUAUAAUCCGUUCGGGUUUUAAGGUCAACCUGAACAGAACCGAAAACAAAAUAAAAUUUCGGAUUCAGUUUGGCUCAGGUCAACCCGAGCCGAACGCCCAUCCUUAGCGCUAACGCCGGAAAUUAGAUAAGGGGCUUGUCACUUCAUUAUUUAUUUGGGAAAAUUUUUCACUGCGAUGGUUGACUUCUUUUAACACUUCAAAGGUCCAUGUUUUGAGAAAAGCCUCGUAGACUUGCAGUGCAUUCCUCUUGCUCCUCCGGUGAUAAGUGCCACUUUGCUUUGCAGCCUAGCAACAUCAAAUUAGCAUGCAACAAUUGUAACAUCUAAUCAAUCUAGCUAGUUGAGAGUCAAGAUUCAAAACUAAAAUUUAAUGAAGGCUUAAGAUUUGACAAAUAGCUAGACACAUGAUAUUUGGAAGGAGUCGGCUAAGUUACGUUUAACGUAAUUUAUGCCACACACAGCAAGAUUAGCGGGUCCUACCACUGUGCACUAUUGCUGUGUAUAGCGUAAGUUACGUUAAACGUAACUAAGCCGGAGCCUAUUUGGAAUUGAUAAGAAUUUUGAGCAAAUUAUACUAACAUUCCUGCUGCAGCUGAGACAAUUGAAGCACUGCCCAUUACCAUGGCACGUAUGGCAACCAAAAAAUGAAGAUCAAUUACGGUGUCUUACAGAUCUAAAAGGAUGUUAUCACCCAGCAAACUUUAACUUCUCUUUGCAAAAAUUGAACUUGUUAUAGAUUGCAAUCUCCACUGAACCAGUACAACAUCUGUCUUAUAUCGACACCACUCCUUAUGGAUCACAUAUCACUUUGUUGUCAAGUAAUUGCUUCCCUGUUAUUAAAUUCUCGCCAUGUGUCUAUGAACAUUAUCAUGAUUUCUUGAAACGCCACACCCAACUUCAUAAUAAAAAGGGAACAGAAAAAAUAUAUUUUCGUAAUAACACCCAAGAUUUUAUCAUUCAUUCCAUAGAUUAGAUAUGAAAAAUUACUAGUCACGCAUAAAAAUUUUAAAUAAUAAAAAAUAAACUAAAUGACACCAAUCAGAUAGCGUAUUUUAUUUCGUGACAGACAUCAUUGGAAUAUAAAUUAUAUACCCCAACUAUAUAAAUAUUAACUGCAAGAUUGGGCGCACUUAAUCCAAACCAUAAAUAUUAUAUUAUUGUUGCAGAUAGAUAAUUGUCUGGUGAUGACCACGACAAAACCAAGUAAUAAUCGUUUUAAUCUUAAAUUUCUUUUUUUUUUUGGUGAAAAACUGGAAGUUAGUUUCAAUCAUCACUUUGAAGAAUGGUAAACCCCACAGUAUUUUAUAUGCCGCAUAUAUUAUGGAUGUUAAUCAGUUACGUAAUUAUCACCGGUUAGGUACCUAAAAAGUGUGCUUCCAUGCCUUAAAAAAUAAAUAUUUCGAUUAGUUUCAAUAGACUAAUUUAAACUAAUAAAUUAAACAUUUUUAGUUGCAUCAUUUUUUUCUUUUUGUUGGUUUAUAUCGAGUUCAAAACUAGAUUUCCUCGAUAAAUUCUUGUUUUGUUAAUUACCAUGAAUUCGUUAGAGACACAAUAUUACAUUCAAAUCCAAUCGUACGUUUAUUUCAUGAGGCACCCAACAAGCAACCCCUAUUGUCAAGUAAUAAGGCCAAAAAUAAAUAUUAAGAUUUUCUUAUGAUCUAACUCAUCUUCAAAAAAAAUAAAAUAUGUUAGUGAUUAAUAAUUAAUAAAUAAAUAAAAUAAAUAAAUUAAAAUUUAUUUAUAUAUUAUUUCUAAAAGACACGUAGUAUAAGAUUUUUAAAAACUCGAUCUUAAUCUUAUAAGUAAACAUCUACCGAAAAUAAUAGUAUUUUUCCUCAAUGAGUUGGUAGUUUAAAAGCUGGUUUUGACAAAAAGAUUCCAGCUUUAGGAGGUCCGUUUCUCACCGACCCACGAAGAGCUGUUUCAAGAAAAUACAACUAUCAAAUAUUGUUUCAAGGCUCUCUUCAACACACAGGCUGUCGCUUUCAAUAAAGAGGACGGCUCUGCCCACCAGAUCAAAAUCUUACAAGUUAAUACAGCGAUAUUAUAUAUAUAUAUUGGAAAAAAAAAUUUGGAAACCUAAAUUAAAGUCCAUAAUGGAUUUAUGACAUCAUAAAUUGACUUUUACAAUGUUAUAAAUUAAUGUACAACUGUUUCGGAUUUUAUUUUCGGAUAUAAAACACACACACACACAUAUCUAGUAAGGCUUCUAGUGUGUGCGUGUGUGUGUGGUGCUUUUCCAAUUGGAGAAUCCUAGAUUGGAAAAGCAUCGGGAUGCUAUUGGUUUGGCUGCACAAACCAACAUAUAUUUUUUUUAAAAAAAGAGAGGCCAUUGGAUUAAAAAAUCCAAUAGCCGAUAUAUAUAUAUAUAGUCCAUUUUUUUAGGAAUUUCUUCAUUUUUUUUAUGCGCACACAUUAUUAGGUUAUAUUGUUUAACAAAGUCCGUGCAUACAUGUUAUUAAACCAUAUGAUUUAACAAAAUAUUCAUGUAAAAAAAAUUAAGGACACCUAUAUAUUCAUUACUUUAUUAAGGUAAGGGAUAAACUAACAGAUAAAAAAAAAUACACUAAAAUGUAGUGUACUUUGUCCUAAAAUAUAUUAGAAUUUAUAUGUUUCAAUCUUUUAACUUAUUCUUUACUACAUUAAAGUAAGAAAACCCUUACUAGAUAACGAAAUAUAUAAAUACUCUAACUGUGAUGAAGUAGCAAAUGAUUAUAAGAAUUAUUGCAGUGUAACAUUUUACUACUUUUACUUUUUUAGAAAAAAUAAUAUUUUACAAAUUUUUCGUUAGCUCUAUUAGUCAAAUGCUAAUGUCGUGAUAAUCUGGCAAAUAUAUCUUUGUAUGAAAUCUAACCUAAAGUUAUGAAUCAACCCAAAAGUUUGAAAGUACCACAAUGCCCCUAAUUAAUACCCUAAUUUAUAGUUGUUAAUAACAUUUGAAAGUUAAAAAAUAAAAAUAAAAAAUUCAGAAAAUAAAAAAAUGAAAUUAUGUUUAAGUUUUUUUUUUUUUUUUUUACAUUUUCAAACUUUUAGGGCUCUUUUAGAAAUUACUAAAAAUCUAGCUUUUUAUUUUGGAGUUAUUGAUAGGGAAAUUUUAGUAUUUUAUAUGUCAACCGUAAUAACGGAAAUUAAAGUAAUAAAGCAUUGUUUUUGUAGUUAAGGUAGUAAACUGUUAUACUUUAAUAAUUCUUGUGGUGCUUUAUUAUUUCACUAUAGUUAAAGGGAUGAAAGAAUAAUAAUUUUAAAGUAGUGAAAGAAUAUUAAUCUUACAUAUAUUAAAUAGGGCUGGGUCAAGAAUUGAGUUUGAUUCAGUACAGAAUUGAACUAAAUAAAAAAUAACUAAAGUAAAGUAUGAACUGAGCUAAAUUGGUUUAUUAGUUUUUCAAAUGUAAGUAUAUUUUUAUUUUCUUACAUAAUUUAAUAAUUUUAUGACCAUGAAAUUAAUUUUGAUGCUCUUUUAUAUCAUACUACGUGGUAUUAUUUAUUCUAAAAAAUAAUUUAUUUUUCGGUUUAGUACCAAUACAAAAGUUUGAACUGAGAGCAUAACCGAAAAUUCGGUUCGAUUCUCAAUUAAUAUUUAUUGAUACUUCUGAAAAUGUAAAACCGACCAGAAAUUUAAAGAAAAAAAAAAAAGAGCCGAACUAAACUUUUUAUAGGAACCGGUUUGGUUCUGCCCACUCUCAAUGUUAUUAGAGGUUUGAAUGGGAACAGAGGCGAGGCUAUGUGUGGGAGGAUGAGCUGUGGCCCUUUUACACAAUGUUUUUAGCCUUUAGAUAAUUAGUAUAUCCUUAGCUAAAACUAGAGACUGAUGAGGACGUGGCUUUUCAUUGAUGAAACGCAUUAAACUUUUUUCCACAAACAUUUUUGCUUGGAUUAUUUUACUUGUUUUAUCUCUUUUAGAACAUUUUUUUUCCUUCAAGAAUGGUGUAAGAUUUUAUCGAAUAAAAUUUUUAGCACCUGUUAUAUAUAAUAAUUAAAGAAAAGAAUUAACAUUCGGACAUCAAUUCAACCUUAUGAUAAUGAUUUUAACGUAUUUCUUUUCACGUCAUAUUAUGGAGAGAGUUGAAACUUACUCCCCAUUAUGAAAAUCAACACAUUAUCAUCAUUAUCAAUUUAUCAUAAGCUUAAAUUGAUGUUUCAAUGUCUCAGGAUACAGUAUCCUAAGGUAGCAUACUUGGACUAAUACUGACUUACUCCCCACAUUCCUUAUUUCACAUGAGUUAUUCAUGGAAAUUUAAAAAAAAAAAUUUUAGACUCCCAAGACAACAAGUUAUAUGUAUAUAGAGAUUUCUUUAUUUUGUUUUAUUGCGUUACUUUGUCUUGAAUUUUAAUUUUAAUUUUUCUUAUUUUUCCCCUUGAUUUUCAAGUAAGUUUCAAACCUCCAUAAUAUGAGGUGAAAAUCAACACAUUAUCAUCAUUAUCAAUUUAUCAUAAGCUUAAAUCGAUGUUUCAAUGUCUCAGGAUACAGUAUCCUAAGGUAGCAUACUUGGACUAAUACUGACUUACUCCCCACGUUCCUUAUUUUACAUGAGUUAUUCAUGAAAAAAAAAAAAAAAAGUAAUUUUAGACUCCCAAGACAACAAAAGAAAAAUAGUUUCACUCUUGGAAGCCAACAUGGCUAAUAGAUUUUUACAACGGAAUUAUUUUCAUGUGCACCCCAUCUGGAAAACUUCACAGAAAAAAGUCAGGAUAACUUCAAUUACAGACUAAUUAUUUCAUAGACACAUAAAAUUAAUUUUGUAAUAUGAGAAUAUUAAAUUGAGGGAUAAAUUAAAAUAUAUUAAAAAAUAUAAAGUUUAGUAUAUUGUAAAAUAGAAUACAGUUUGGAACGUUUUUUUUUUAUCUUUUAUUUUGUUCUUUAUUUUAAUAAAAGAUUCCUUUUUAAAAAUUUAUUUUUAUUGACAUAUGAUAAUUGACAACUUAUGCUGGGGACCUGUAUUUUACUUAAUUUUCUUCUCAUGUUUAUCUUCCACCCCCCCCCCCCCCCCUCCCGGGAUAAAUCCUUCUCUUACUAUUUCGUUUCACAUUAUUUUCUCUUUCGUCCAAUAUUCCAUCAUGUUUCUAUUGUUAUUAUUAGAAAAUACAUUCAAAAUAAGAAAGGCGAUCCAUUGAGCAUGGUCUCUCUCCGCAAGGAGAAGAAUGGCCACAUGUCAAGCUCUCAAAAAAAGUGUUGUAAGAUCUAAAGCUCUGCUCUUUUCAUGAGACCUUGAUACAUGGGUGAGCGACCUAUCCACCAAAUUAGAUAUAUAUUUACGAACAGAACUCUACUUGCUUAUUUUUAACUAUUUAACUCUACUUGCCCAUUAUAAGUAUUUAAAAUAAUAUUAUUCAAUAAGGAGCCCUAUUUUCAAUCUGUGAUGUAAUGCAAUUUUGCGGUGAAUUUAGAAUCUUUUGCAUCUCUUGCAGAGGUUCUUUUCUUGUUACAGUAGGUGAUCAUUUUUUAUCUUAAAAAAAAAAGUGGUCAUUUUUUAACUUAAUAAUUAUUAUUUUAUUGAAUUAUGUGAUAUUAUUAUAUUAUUAGGAAUGACAUUAUGUUAUAGAUAAGCAUUGGGUUUUUUUUAAAUUAAUUUAUCAACUUUACUGAUUAUUUUAUUUGUUUUCUUUUUCCACAGACAUAAUUAAGGCACUUCAAUGAUACUCAACUUGUUCAGGCCAAGGGGUUGAGCAAGAAAUCUUGAUUUCAUGAUGAUAAUGCUUAUUUACCGGAAGUUGUGAGACAUGAUCGGAAGCCCAAGUUAGGCUAAGAAUUUGAAUCACUAGAUGAUGUGCUUGAACUUUUCAACAGUUGCAAAGGAUGCUUGAUUUAAUAUUAGAAUUUAUUCCAGUAAACAAGAUUAAAAUACAAAAGAAAUUGUAGAGGAGGAGUAUGUGUGGUUCAAAGAAGGAACAUCAUCCAAAAGAGAUAUUUAUGCAUCAUCAUCAUCAUAAUAAUAAUAAGCAAACGACAAUUCACAUGAACAUUCUUCCUCAAAACAACAUGUCAAUCAAAUAAAUAGUUUAUAUUCAGCAACAGUGAAUAUGCAUCUGAUAUAGUACCAUCUUUAAAAGCAGCUUUUACUAAAUAUUUAAGUUAUACUUAUAGUGAAAAGUAAUUACUUAGCUAAUACAUACACAAAUAUACCAUAAAUAAUUUAGAAUUAGCAUUAAUUAAAAAAAAGUUUUACAUUAUCAUUGUUUUUACACUAUAAUUAAGAUAUAUAUUACAACACACACACACAUAACAUUGUCAUUGUUUUUACACUAUAAUUAAGGUAUAUAUUACAACACACACAUAUAUAUAAUUUCACACAUAGAAAUUUAAUUGUAAUUUCAAAAUAUGGAAUCAUAAAUUGCUAGUAGUGAAAAAAUAAAUAAGAUAAUAUGUGUAUGGCUGCCCAAUUAAGCAAAGAAGAGUUUAAUUCAACCUAUGCCGCAACAUUAAGUAGAGGUCAGGAAAGAAUCACCCUUUGUUGAAAACAAAAGGGCAAUUUGGUGUCUCAAAAAAGAAGCAACAACAUGAACAUUUCAUUGUUCUAAUCCAGGAACUGUACAACUUGAGUUUUUCAUGAGCUAUAAAUACCAAAAAAUAUCUCCCAAGUAAAACUGCAACAACAAAAAUAAUUAAUUAAACAAAACUAACUAAGACUCUCUAGAGAGAUGGUGAGUCCUGGAAUUGCAAGCAAUUCAACAAGAGAAUAUGCUGCAACAGAGACAGAGCAGAAACAAUGGAGAUGGAGCAGGAGCAGCGGCAGCAGAGAUGGAGCAACAAUCGUUUUUGGGGACGGAGAGAGAGAGAGCUGUGAUGGUGAAUUGUGGUUGAAGAACAAGAGUAUAGUCACGAAAAGAGAGAGGGGGAGUUAUGAGUUUAGAUCGAGAUUAAGAGACAAGAUUUUAGGAGAAAGAAGAUCAAUUGCUUGGAUUUUGCUUUAUAAUUUAUUUUAGAAUUUAGUUUGCAAUUCAUUGAAAAUGUGUUAAAUAUAUUCUUCAAUUUUAUAACAAUAAGAAAAAAUCUAAAUUAUUUGUUUUUUAAUCCAUCAACUAAACAUGUAUUACAUGUAUAGUUUCAAAAUGAAAAUGAAAAUAAAGCCCUAAAAAUGGUACCGAAGAAGUCAUAAUUUUCCUCACCCAUAAAAUCGGAAAGUCCGUUUUGUGACCGCAUCAUCUACUCGCCUCGUUUUAUUAAGAUUUCGUGCAACUACAACUCGAUAUCAUGAUCUCCAAUAAUGGAAAGUGUUAUCAUAGAAUUUGAAUUCUCGGCAAGUAAUUCAAAUUUUGGCAUUUGUGUGAGUUGAAAAGUACUAAUUAUCCAAUCUACACGAAAUAAGUUUCAUAGUAAAAAGCAGUAAAAUCGAAGCUCAAUUACGAAUUAUUAGGAUCAAAACAUGCAAGCUUCCGAAAAUACACUCAUUCAGAUUUCCCAAACACAGAAAACCCUGCAUUGACAAUAGCAAAUCCUCCAUCUACGACCAAAUUAUGCCCACUCACACACUUAGACUCAUCACUCCCCAAAUAAAGAGCAGCUUCAGCUGCAUCCUCAGGCUCAAGAACAGCCCCCUUAAGAUUUGAAUACAUGCCGCCCAAACCAUCAUCAGCAAGCUUGAGAAAAUCCUUAGCUAAUGGAGUUGAGACCGCAUAAGGUGACACACAAUUGACCCUAAUGCCAAAUCGUCCAAGCUCCACAGCAGUAUUCUUCAUCAGCCCCAAAAGGCCAUGCUUUGAACUAGUGUAUGCAUGUGUUGCAGCGCCACCAAUGAUUCCGCAAACGCUCGCAGUUGAAAUUAUGCUGCCUCGUCCGGCGGGUUUCAUCACCCUAGCAGCAUGUUUCGUCCCAAAAAUGCGCCAACGAGGUUAAUGGAAAGUAUGCGCUCAAAUUCAGCCUGAUCGUUAUCGAGUAUGUUAGGUUUGGCUUCAUCCACAGUGCCGGCGUUAUUGAACAUAAUGUCUAGCUUUCCGUACUGAGAGACUGCCGUGUUAACGGCGUUUUCGAUAUCUUUCUCUUUGGUUACAUCACAAUGGACAUAGGAGCAGCCGUUGGCUGAUGAUGAUGAAGAGCCUAUGUCUUUGCAUAUAGAUUCGCCCAAGUCAUCUUUAAUAUCUGCAAUGAGUACUUUAGCCCCAUGUUUUGAGAAGAGCCUUGCAAUGCAUUCCCCAAUGCCUCUUGCUCCUCCGGUGAUAAGUGCCACUUUGCCUUGUAGCCUACGCAACAUCAAAUUAGCAUGCACAAUUGUAACAUCUAAUCAAUCUAGUUAGCUGAGAGUCAAGAUUCGAAACUAAAACUUAAUUAAGGCAUAAGCUUUGAACAAUAGCUAGGCAAAUGAUAUUUGGAACUGGUAAGAGUUUUCAGCAAUUUGAACUAACCUUCUUGCUGCCGCUGAGACAACUGAAGCACUGCCCAUUCUUAUAGCACGCACAGCAACCAAAAAAUGAAGGUAAGUUAUGGUGUCUUGCGGAUCCAAAAGGAUGUUGUUCCCUUUAAAUAUAUCUCAAGCCCCUUCUAAAAUAGACAUUACAAAGAAUUUGACCACAUUUAAAUUAAAUAAAAUGUUUAUUGUUUGGUAAUAAGAAUUUUAUUUAUGAUUUUUAAAACCUCAGUUCAAAUCUCACCACACAAAAAAAAAAAGGUAAACGAACAAUAUGAAAAGGUCAAUUUCCUUUAAAUUGAAUUAAGUUUUUUCAACCAAGUCCCGCUAAUCGAACUGGCUGGGUCUGCCGCUAGUUAUUACCCUGCAAGUUUUAUCUCCUGUUUCUGAAAUUUGAACUUGUUAUGGAUUUCAAUCUCCUCCGAACCAGUGCAACAUCUAUCUUAUGUCUACACCACUCCUUAUGGAUCACGCGUCACUUUGCUUCUAUUCAAUGCCAAAACGUUGUACGUGCAAGACAGGAACGUGGGUUAUUGCUUCCUUUUAUUAAAUUAAUAAAUUCUCGCCACUUGCCCAUGGACAUUAUCAUGAUGGAGCCGGCUAAGUUACGUUUAACGUAACUUAGACGGAGCCUAUCAUGAUUUAUUGAAAAGUAGAAAAGUCUCGCCUCUAGAUUAUUAGUAUAUCCGUAGUUAAAACAAGACGUAAAAGUUGGCGUGGGUUUUCAUUAAUGAAACGCAUUAAUUUUUUUCUACAAACAUUUUUGUUUGGGUAAUUUUACUUGUAUUAUCUCUUUUAAAACAUUUUUCCCCCUCAAAUUAUAGUGUAAAAUUUUAUCGUUUAAAAUGUUUAGCACAUGUUAUGUAUAAUAAUUAAAGAAAAGAAUUAGCUUUCGGACAUCAAUUCAACCUUGCUAUAUUGAUUUUAUGAUGCGUUUGACACAUUGUAUUGCAUUAUUUUAAUGCAGGUGUAUUGUAUUAUAUUAUAUUGCACUAGUACUGUAUUAAAAUAAUGUUGUACAAUAUUUGGUGCUACAUUGUACUGUAUUAAUUCUCAAUUAUAUUAUAUUUGGUACUGCACUGUAUUGUAUUUUAAUUUUUUUGUGAUUAAUUUAAAUUAUAUAUUUAGAGAAUAAUAUUUAUUAGUACUAAAAAAAUUAAAUAGAAAAGUCUUAAAAUUUAGAAAUUUAACAUUUUUAUUAAAAAAUGUUAAAAUAUCAAAUUCUUCCAAAGCUUAUAGCCUUAAAUUUUAGGAAGUGUAAUUUUCAGUAUUUUCUAAAUAUAUAACCUGUGAAAUAAAGAUCAAAGUAAAUAAUUUAAUCAAAAAAUCUCAAAAUAAUUUAACAACAUAAAUAAAUAGUUAAAAUCUUCAAGAUCAAUUCAAAAAUCAUCUUAGGAUGAUAGAAUAAAAUAUCACAAGAUAAUUACAAAAUAAUCAAGUGAUACAAUUAUUAUAACAUUUUCACUAAAAAAAAUGAAUUGUGCUCAAUAAUCCAGUAAUUAUUUAUAUUAUUAAUUUUCAAUUAAUAUUAUUCAAAUUUAUUUAAAUAUUCAUUAUUAGUUAUAUUAGCUUAUUAAAGAUUAAUCAAUUUUACAUAUUAAUUAAGCUAAUAUAAUAUAAUUAAAAUAUAAUAUAAUAUUACUAAAUAAUAAAUAAUAAAAUUUAUUAACUUAUAUUAAAAGUAUAAUGUAAAAAUAAAUAAUAUAAUAUAACAUUCAAUUAAAAAUUAUAUUUAUUUAUUAUUAUUAUAAAGUAAAAAAAAAAAAAGAUUAGCUACUUCCGCAUUAGGGUGCAUCUAAUGCAGCAAUUUGGUGCCGCAAACAUGGGGCUGCAUUGCAUUUAAUGAGGGGUACCAAACACCCCCUUAAUAUAUUCCUUUUCAUGUCAUAUCAUAGAGAGACUUGAAACUUAUUUUAAGAUAACAAAAAUUCUAUCCUUUUUUUCCCCAGCAAGUUAUAUGUAUAUAGAGAUUUCUUUGUUUUGGUUUAUUCCGUUAUUUGUUUUGAAUUUGAAUUUUGAUUUUUUCUUGUUAUUCCUUCUUGAUUUUCACAUAAGUUUCAAACCUCCAUAUUAUGAUGCAAAAAUAAACACAUUAACAUCAUUAUGAAUUUAUCAUAAGCUUGAAUCAUUAUGAGUAUCUCAGGGUACAAUACCCUAAGGUAGCUUGAAUCAAAAUAUAAUCAAUAAGAAGUUGCUUUUGUGCAAUGUGAUCCUUAACAAAAUAAAGGUUUAAUUCAAUAUGUUUAGUGCGUGAAUCAUAUUUUGGAUUACUAGUUGUUGGGUAUAAAUUCAAAUGCUAUUAGUGUUAAUGUGCAAGUGUACACAACAAGUAAUAUAAUGAUAAGUAUUCAAGAUUGUCUCCACAGGGAUUGAUGUUAUCAGACUUGCUACAGUAAUUUUAACAGUGCAGAUUUUGUUCUAAAUUAAAAUAAAAUAAUUAAUGAAACUAAUAUACUAAUUAAAAUAAAAACGCAAUAAAUAAAAUGCAACAAAGUAAAUUAUCACGUCAAACUCAAAGAUAAAACCAAUGGGAAUAUAGAGUAGUUGAGUGAAUAAACUUUAUUAAUGGUUUUGACUAUUUUCUAAUGGUUGGCUCGGUUGCUACAGCAUUUGCUAUAGCACUGGGUAGAAUCCUUAUGUAUCCUCAGCCAUCGCAUGUUGGAUAUCCUAUAUCUAUAUACAACCUAACAGUGAUAAGUUGUUAUGCCAACAUAAUAUAUAGCAUUACAUGCUUAGGUUCUAUUUACCCUACAAGGUGAAUCCCUAUGUCUAGUUCAUCACUAAUUUUAGAUUAAGCAUGGCCAUUUUGGGAUAAGUUAAACUCAAUCCAGGAAACACAAUUUAAAACCAAGUAUUACUCUUAUAUGUUCCACUAAGAUAGGUCAUUUUGUGGCUCUCUCCUAAUUUGUAUCAUUAAAUGGGUGAUCAGCCGAAAUAAUAAAUAAAAAUAAAUGCUAUCAAAACAAAAUAUUACAACAAACAUGCAGCAACUCAUAUUUUCAGUCAAUAAACCAUUAAGAUUGUUUAUCACUCAACACAAAAAUUUAGUUCAUGAUUUACAAAAGAAAAAUAAAGAAUAAAGUUUCAGCAAUGAAACACAUCCCCAUGAAUAAAUAGAAAACACGAAAAUAAGAGAAGGAUAAGAAGGAUUGAGCUCCCAAUUGAUCUGUGCAAUUUUUCCUCUUGUGCAGCCCUUAAUCUCUCUCUUGAAUCUUGUUUUUCUUUUGUUUCUUUGUGUUUUUCUUCUUGGGUGACAGCUCUCCCUAUUCCUUAUGAUGUGUGCUUCUUUUAUAACUGAAAAUUAGAGUAAACGGAAGCCUAGGGCGCGCAUAAGUCAGAUUAGGAAACUGCAGAUCGCAAUUCUGUAAGUAUCCCGCGCGGAAUUUUCUCUGUCGUUGUUCCAGGAUUGCUAUAGCAAUGGUUGCUAUAGCAACGGCUACAGCAACUGUACUGUUCCAUAUUUAUUUCAAUUCUUUUGUAGCCAAGUUCUUUUCCAUCUUUUGCAAGCCUAUUGCAUCAGCAUUCCUUCCUUGAAAUUUGAACUUCCGGACAUCUAUAAUUAUGCAUAUGAUUUAAGCACACAAAUUAUUCUAAAACAAUGCAAUUUAUAAAAAAUAAACUAAAUAGUUAUUCAUGCAAAAUAAAACUAAAAUGCAAUAAAAAUAUGUCAUUUACUCUCAAAGUAUUAUUGAUUUAAGUCUAAAAGUGACAUGAUAACUCUCAUUCCAUAGAGUUAUCACUAACCAAAGUCUUAACACUCUGAUUAUCUCAAUAUAGAACUGAAACUUGAGAAAGAGAGAUCUUAAGCUCUUUUAAUAGAUAAUAACCCAUAGAAUCUUUGAGAUAGUUAAGGCUGAAGCAUGACAUUCAGAUUAAGUUGAAGAUCUUGAUGCAAUGUACUAUUUUUUAGACCAAAAAAUAUGAUUGCUACCUAAAAAUACACAAUAACCAUCAAUGGACCUACGAUCAUCAAGAUCUGAAUCCCACUCUUCAUCAGAAUAUGCAGUUAAGUUUAAAGAACCUAAAUGAAAAAAAAAAAUUAGAGGCCAAAAUUUGCAAUGCAUUGAAGGUAUCUUAAAACUCUUUUGUAAGUAUUGUUUAAAUUUUAUUGUUGGAAGGUAUGCUUAUUGCUAUAGGUGUCAAUGUACAAGUUUACACAACAAAUAAUAUACUGAUAAGUAUUCAAAUUGUCUUCACAUGGAUUAAUGUUAUAGGAUUUACUACAGUAAACUUAACAGUGCAAAUUCAAUCUAAAUUAAAAUAAGAUAAUUAAUGAAACUAAUGAAUUAACUAAAUUAAAUGUACAAACAACAUAAUGCAAUAAGAAAAAUCUUGCUGAACAUUAUUGGUGAGAUGAUGAGUUGUUUCAUUGUCCAAAUAUCAUCCUUGAUCCGUAACUCCCUUUGAGGUAACCAUAUAUGCAGCUCUAGAAGCUUAGUUCUGAUUAAGAAAGUUACCUUGGACUGAAGGACUUAGAAUAAAGUUCCUAUUGAACCUGUCCUUACAUUCAGCUGCAUAAUGAUUAUGCUUAAAGUAAAUUUGAUAUGUGAUAAUUCCUCUGCCACCUCCUCUUUCAAAGCCAAAAAGACCACUAAUAAAGGCAAAUUGUUAAAUGUUAGUCUAAAGGACUACACAUAGUGUAAUUUGAUGAGAACAAACAUGCAUUUUAAAUGAUAUGAUACACAUUGUAUUUCACAUUUUCACUAGUUUUUUAAGGAUAAUAUUUAUGCAAGUAAAUCAAUUGAAAUCAAGCUCAAGAAAUUCAACAGACAGUGGCUUGAUCAAGAACAAAGUUUAGCUCGACGAAGUCAUUAUUGCGCCAAAUUAAAGCUAGCAUGAUUUAAUAUAUGCAUGCUUUAGCAUUUGAGGAGCUCAAGAUUUUGUUUAAUAAAUUAUUACUUUUCAUAAACUAAAAGGUUUUAUGUUUACAAGACAAGUAUUUUGUGGAUUUGAGUGUUUUUCAAAUUUUGGAUUAAAUUAAAAAAGUUUUGAAAUCAAUAAGCAUUAUGAAAAGAAUCUUUUUAAAAAGUAUUAUAAAGUUUGGGCCAUAUGAUAAUUUUUAAAAGUUUUGGGAAUAACGAGUAUUAUUUACAAAUUAUGAAUUUAGACCCAUUUGUAAAAAUGUAAAAUAUUUGAGGACAUAGAAUAAUUUGUAAAACUUUUAGACCAUAUUUUAAGUUUUAAAAGUGUUGGGGCCAAAAAGUAAAUAUUAAAAAUAUGGUGGGAAGACAAAGAGUUAAAGGCUAGCCGCCUGAGGUAAAUUUUAAAUUUUCAAAGCCAAAAUUUACAACGAUAACUUGCACUGUACUAAGCGGUGAUCUGGCUUAUUAAGAGGCUAGCCGGUUACUUGUUGUUUUUGUUCAUAACGGCUAGUUUUUGUGUCCAAAUUCAAUUUUAAGAAUUAUUGCUAGCAAGAACAAGAGCAUACAUCAUAUUUUAAGCUUUCGUUUCGCAAAUCAUCAUAUAUAGGAUCUUCAUUGUGUUAUCAUUUGUAUAUCUACUCUAAAAGAGAUUUAUUUGUUGUAAUUUUCAUUUCUUUAUCAAAUUUGUGAGAGUUUGAGUGUGAGAAACACUUGGGCUGAGAGAUUGUGUGAUAAUCUCUUAUUGUAAAGGUCUAUUGACUCCUUCAAAGUCAAUUGUAAAAACUUGGGACAUUUGGAUAGUGAAAUCCUCAAGUUUAAUUUGCUUAGAGGUGUGGACGUAGGCGAGAAUUUCCAAACCACAUAAAAAAUUUUUGUAUUUGCUCUCUCUUCCUUUACUUUUUUUUAUUUUUUGGCAUUGUUAAAUUUAUUGUUUUUUAUUUCAUUAAGGCAGUAAAUUAAAUAGUUGUGUGGUUUGCUUAAUUUAAGUUUUAAAAAGUCAAUUCAUCCCCCUCUUGGGUUGCAUAACUAGUAUUUCAUUAAAAUCACUAGCGAAGCCACCAUUUUUAUUAUUGAAGCCACCAAAAAAGCUAGAAAAUCCACCUCUGUCCUGAUUAUCAUUCGAUCCUCUUCUAGAAUAUCUCUCUUUCUUAUCCAUAACAUCCUCUGUUAUUGUAAUUACUAUUCCAGUUACAAUUUCCACUCUUGUUUCCAUAAUUUCUAUUCUAGUUGCCUUGAUUAUUACUAUUUUAACCAUCAUUAUUUCCAGUCUUAUGAUUUUUUUUCCAACUUGGUCUAUGCUAGCUAUAUAAUUCAACUUAAUUUAUUUACCGGCAUUAGACUAAGCAGGUUUUUAUCUAGCUUCAUGAGUUCAACAGCAUGGAAUAAGCCUCAUUAAUGCUCACCUUAAGAACAUUAGCCCCAACAUAAACCACAACAAGAUAAUAUAGUUUAUCUAAACCACAAACUAAGCAUGUAAAUCCAAAGAACUAAUUGGACUACUUGUAACAACUAAUUUAUCAGUCAUUGAUCUCAGUUUGCUAAAGUAAUCGGUAAUUGACAUGGAUCUUUUUCUUGAGAUUAUUCAAUAUCAUCUUUAAAUGAACUUUCAUAAUAAUAGUUUUAUAUCCAAAUUGUUGUUCUAAGCUAGUCUAAAGUUCAUAAAAUGUUUUAGAAGUCAUUGCAUGACUAAAGAUCUCAACAUUGAUCGAAGACAAGAGCCAGCUCGGUAACAUUUUAUCUUGUUUCUUCUAAACACCAUAUACAGGAUUUUCUUGUGCACUGGCAUCAGAAUUUGUGAAUCACUAGUGAGAAACUGAUUUGGACAAAGUCAUGAUCCAUCAAGAAGACUUUCAAGCUCAUUAGCACAAACUGAAAUGUAAAUGAUGAAACUGAUGAUGAGAUGUUUGUAGUUAAACUUGAGGAAGCCAUGAGAGUGUUUGAUCUAUAACUUUAAUACCAAAGCAAGGUUUAAUUUGUAGACUUGCAUUGUUUGGUUAUUAACAAAAUGAAAAGAAAACUAAGAUUUGAAAGAGAAAAUUGACAAAGGCAAGAAAUCAUUUCUACAGUAGUAAAUGUGAUUGCAAGAUCUGCUUAUAUGCAAAUGUCCAGAACUUUCUACACACAUCUAAUGCAUGUGCUAAGUUUAAGCAAAAUAGUAACUAACUAAUUAACAAAAUAACAUAAUGUGAAUACUGCUACACCUAUAACAACCUUGCUGAUCAGCCAAGUCAUCUAAGUGUUGGUAAUUAACUAACAUAACUAACUCUCUAAACGUAUAUUCUCAACACCAAGGACUUAAUUAACUAACAUAACUAACUCUCUGAACGUCUAUUCUCAACACCAAGGACUGGUUCGAUAGGGAAGGUUGUAAGGCAAAGCUUGGAAUGGUGAGAACAAAAUCGUAAAAUCAUAUUGUCAGCUUGUUUAUGGAGGAGUCACAGCCAUCCAUUAAUCACCGUAACUUUCAGCUACAAAUGUUCCAACUCAUCUUUAAAUAAAUAUCCUCGAAUUGCAGGCUGGGGCAUGUAUUUUCAAUCAGAGCAAGAAAAGAAUAUGGCAUUUACUUAUGCCAUAAAUACAGAUAAAUAAGAUCGAAUUAUUAAUAUAAUUUUUAGGCAAAUGCAACAUCUAGCUGGGCAGGUAUAUAAUUUUUAUGGCGAUGUGAUUGUAUUUGACACUACUUACACAUGAACUAUUAUAGCAUGAGUUUUGAACCGUUAUGGUCAAGCAAUUAUAUUCGCUUGUUUGUUCUGAUUAAGUGAUGAGACCACUUAAUUAUAGUUUAAGAAAAGAUGUUAGGAAAUUUUAAUCCCACUCAAGAUCUUGCAAGUAAAAAUAUUAAAAAAGUAAUAAGCAGAAAAUAAAUGAUGAAUAAAAAAAAAUUAAACAGUAUAAGAAUUUACGUGGAAAACUCCUAUUGAGAAAAAUAACGGCCACCAAAGACAACAAGAAAAAACUCAUUAUGUCAAAAAUUAUUUCACUUAGCCUUGGAAAAGUCCGGCCCAAGCCCACAUUUUUUAAAACAAGCCAGACCCUUCAAAAGCACGGCUUGGGCCAAGCCGGGCUUCAGUUGGGCCUGAGCUUUUUUCACUAAUUAUAAAAUGUUUGAAUUAAAUAUAAUCAUCCAAUACAUAAUAAAAUAAUAGUAAAAUACAAAAAAUAUUAGUAAUACAAUAUAAUAAAUCACAAAUACUAAUAUAAAAUACCAUAUUAAUUUAAUAUUUUGAGUUUUUUUUAUUUAAAUUUAAUUUAUUUUUAUUUAUAAAUUAAAAAGGCCAGGGCUUUUUUCAUAGGCCCUUAUCUAAGUCCAAUCUAUCCCGGCUUUACAUUUUUCAUCCCAUAUUCAAACCCAACCAAUGAGGACCGGGCUUCAAACCCGCAGGCCUAAGUUGGGACUUGGGGGUGGGCCCAAUCUUUUUUUCCAACCCCGCAAUCACUAUAGUAUUUUUUCCUUAUACCCAAAAUCCCAAUAACAUUCAAUUUCUCAAUAGACCUAUCGUUUCUUUCACAUUAAAAAUUAUCUACUUACAUAUAACUAAUUGUUUUAUUAUACAAACAAGUGAAUCCAAAAUCGUUAUAUAUAGUGAUUAUUCUUAUACGAGAAGUAUUUUUUUCCUUAUAAUAAUUGUGUUCCUCCUUGAAUAAGUUAAGUCCUAAAAGGAAAAUUACUUAUUUCUUAAAUAUGAAUCCUCUUAAAUAAGAAAACUAUUAAAUAAGAAAAGGUUAAGAAAUAUCCUAAUUUAGGAUUUACAAAUCUCCAUUGAAAAAUGUGACAUGUUUCCUAACAAUGCCAAAAAUAGACCACGGGGAAAGCCGCGCCAAAAAAUAACCGCCCGAAGGCCGGGGCGCCAAGUUCGUCCACCGGAAAAAGGCCACCAAAACCAGACUCACAUAGGGCUUAUGAGAAUCACUCCAUUAUGGGUAAAAUCUUAUCCUCUAUCUAGUAGCUAUAAGUCUCUACAUUGAGAAUCAUCGUACUCCACCUUAUAUAAAGUACACAAAUUUGGCACAUGUCGAUCACCUUGCGAAAAAUAGCCACUCUCAUGUUUGGCUUCCUUGAGAGUCCUUAGCCAUCAAUAUAAAAAAUUCCACCGCACACCUCGCAUAAAUGUCAAACCAUGCCUUGUGUGCCAAUCUUGUGGACAGGUUAGCAGCAACACUUCCUCUUCCAUGACAUGCCAAAAAGAUAAAGCAAUCUCCAUAGAGAAAAGAGACACACCAAUACCUAACAUUUCUAGUAUCUCUAUCUUCUUUAAGAUGCCUUGAUUGUCUACACACCUCCAGGGGAUUCCACUAUGGGAAUAAGGUUUGCAUCACCCUUACUUUUCUUGUGUAACCAGAUUGAAUCAAUAUGUCAUUGACCUGAACUUGCCACAAGUUAAAAUUGAUUCUUCCAUCAAACUUUCAACCUCAAUCCUUGUAGGAUUUGAAAAUUUAUACACAGAUAUUAUUGCUUUGCAAAACAAUCUUUAGCUCUAAUAACACUUGUUAGGGAAUUUUAAUCCCACCCAAGAUCUUGCAAGCAAAAAUAUCGAACAAAUAAUAAGCAAAAAUAGAAAGAGAAUAAAAUCAAUCACACAACAUAAGAAUUUACGUAGAAAACUCCUACACUGAAAAAAACCAUAGCCGCUAAAGACAUUCCACUUUGUGAAACAUUAUUACAAUUACUCCAGUAUUUUUUCUUUACACCCAAAACCCCAAUAACACUCAAUCUUUAAAUAACCUAUUGUUUCUCUCAUACUAAACACUAUCUACUUGCAGAGAAUUGAUUGUUACGUUAUACAAACAAGUGAAUCCAACCUCCCUAGAUGUAGUGAUUAUUCUUUGUAGGAGAAAUAUUCAUUUCCUUAUACUAGUUAUAUUCCUCCUAUAAUAAGUCAAAUCUCAAAGGAAAAUUACCUAUUCCUUAAAUAGGAAUCAUUUUGAAUAAGAAAACUAGUAAAUAAGAAAUGCCUAGAAAAUAUCGUAAUUUAGGACUUAUAAAUCCUCAUUGAAAAAUGAGACAUAUUUCCUAAUAAAAGAGAAUCGUACAUUGAGUUUGGACUAUCUUUAAUAGUAAUUUAAAUCAUAAAUAUUUCUAUAAUACAUAAUUUUAUUUACAUAAACAAAUUAUUUACCCAAUUUUUAAAGUGCAAAUAACCCCACCAUCAAAAAUUUAUCCUCCUUAAAGAUAAAUUUGUAACCGGGGAAACAAAAGUGGUGCUAGUGGCACUCCUUAAUAAUUCUCACGUAAUCCCUUCCCUAAAAUAUGCCACGUUCAAUAUUUUCAAAGCUAACUAUUUCUUGCCACUAGGCCCUUGGCCUAGUGGUUGGGCUGCUGCCCUCGCAAGUGUGAGGGCAGCGGUUCAAGCUCCUACAAAAGCAUUGUGGGGGCUAAACAUUUAUAAAAACUAUUUUCCCUUGUGAAAUACAAGUGGAGCAGGGGCAUCCCUCAUUUGUGAGGGUCAUUUUAUCUGAGCAUGUACUUCAUAGAAUUUAAUGUAAUAAUAUAAGUCUCAGUAAUGUAUAUCUAAUUGUAAAUAUCAGUGUAAUAUAUGUUAUAAUAGCAGUUGUAAAUAUCUGUGUAAUGCAGUAAUUUGGUGUGUAACCAAUAUUUUUUUUUUAAAAAGCUAACUAUUUAUUUUAUAACACCACCAUCAAUUCCAUUAAUACCCUUGUUCACUGAAAAUGAAAAAAUAAGUAAUGAAAGAAUGGGUUGUAUAAUCUCUUUUGAAGCCUUGAAUUUACGUAACAAAAUAGGUGGGGUUUGAUAAAGAAAAAGAGGACAAUUUAAUAAAUUUGAGUAAAAUACUCCACUUUAAUAUACAGAGAACUAGUAUUUUCUAAUUUAUAGAGGAGCAGAGAAAUUUCAGCAAAAUAUAGAACCUCGAUCCAUCAAGAAAUAGAAGUGAUAAAAAUCUAUAUUAUGAGGAAAUUUCUUCUGUAGAUAAACUCUUAUUUUAGAAUGCUUGAAGUAUAAAAUUUUGUGGUUGUUUCAAUUCCAUUACAUGCAUCAAUCAAGUAUCAAAAACAGAAAGAAGCAGAAAUAAUAUAAGACGUGCGGAUUUUCAGAAAGCUAAUAAAGAGAACUUUUAAAAAUGGAUUGUGCAGGUCGCAGGGUUUCAUUAGUUUCUCUAUUUGUCUUGUAAUGUAAUUUUAGAUAUGGUUAAAAUCGAACUAUAACGGGGUUCUAAUAGGAUUAUUGUUGUCUUGAUGGGUGUCAAUUAUGCUACUCCUUAAGUUUUUAAUAAAUAGGUUGGUGUAUUAUGGCCGGCUUGCUGUGUUCGCCUGGCCCUUCUUUUUGCACAUUGAGCUCGAGGAAUCAAGCACAAGUAUGAUUCAAUCAAAAUCAUUAACCCAUCCAACUUCUUGAUCUUGUUUUAUUUAAUUUUCAAUUAAUUUCAUAUAUAUAUAUAUAUAUAUAUACACACACAUAUAGCAAUUCUCAAGUGUAGAUGCUCAAAUGAUAAAAGCUCGUUUAAUCCCUAUAUUAUGAGGUUAGUGCUCAUUUAAUCUUUAUAUUUUUUAAAAUACCUCAAAAGAUUUCUAUAUUUUUAAAAAUACUUCAAAAGAUCUUUAUCGUUAAACUAUUGACACCGUUGUCGUUACUUUUUGUUCAUUUUAACUUGUUUUUAUUAUAUUACUCCUUUACAAUAAUUUUUUUAUAUUAAUAAAAAAAUUAAAUUACCAAUUUAACCCAAACAAAUAAAAUGGAAACAAAAAGAAUUAAUAUCAAUUUUUGUGAAAUACUAUGUUGAGGAGUUAAUAUUUUUUUUUAUCAGUGUCCAAAAAUUAGUAAUUUAAUUUUUUUUUUAUAGAAUGUUAAUUUUUUUGGGCAUAGAUAAGCUUCCACAAAAAUUAAUAUACAUUGUUUUUGUGUUUAUUUCAUUUUUUGGGUUAAAUUGUUAACUUAAUUUUUUUUAUUAAUGUCCAAAAAAAGAAACAUUAUUGUAAGAAGAUAAUAUUAUAAAAGUAAAUCAAAAUUAACAAAAAGUAACCGCAAGGGUCAAAUAACAUUUAUUUAUUUAUCUAUUUAUUAUAAGGAGGAACGACUUGGUGAACGAAAUUAUGCGCCUUCUAGUAUAUAAUUACACAAUUAUUUAGCAGAUCUAGUACACAACCGCACACACCUAAACAGAAUACUUAUUAUGAGUAAUGCUACAUCACAUAAUUAAGGAAUGGGGUCAAUAAGUAAUGAGAAUAGACAAUCCUUAGUAUUUUCUUGAACACCGUAUCCAUCCCCAAAUUGGUACAUGCAUUGCGUCAUCCUCCCCAAAUUCAGCACAAUCCCAGUAAAUUUUUCGGACAAGUAAUUUGGGUUUUCAAAUCGAUCCCUAUUCAUUCCGUUACUGUUUAGGGAAAUGUAAAUUGGAUGGAGCCGCGCAACGUUUAGGGAAAUGACACUAAAACCCACAGAGUUUUAUCUAAAUAUCAAAAUGCGCCCCCCUAAUGCUUCGGAAUUGUAACAUCGAACUUCAUUACUGUUUUAACUUUUGAGCUUUUUUAGAUGACGAUAAGAUUAAGAACCGUAUGUUAAUCAUGGUGAGCAUUUAACUUUUAAACAAGUUGCCGUGUUUUAUAUUAACAAGCGGCACAAUUUGGUUGAUAUUAAUGGGAAUUUGACUUUUGAUUAUUUUCUAUUUUAUCAACCACUGAAAUGACGAUACAUAAAGGGCAAUUAAGUUUUAAUAACAACGACAACGGUAAACUUAAGAGACAAAAUAUUAUAUUAUACUCUAAUUUUUCAGCAUAAAAUGAGAAUGUCCAUUUUGUGAUGGCAUCAUGUACUCGUUUUGCUAAGAUUUCGCGUAGUUACCACUCGAUAUCAUGAGCUGCAAUAAUGGAAAGUGAUUUCGUAGAAUUUGAGUUCUAAGUAAUUCAAAUUUUGGCAUUUGUGUAAGCUGAAAAGUGCUAAUUGUAAUAAGUUUCAUAAUAAAAAGCAAAAAAAAUAAAGCCCAAUUAGGAAUUAUUAGGAUCAAAACAUACAAGCCUCCGAAUACACUCAUUCAGAUUUCCCAAACAUGCACAACCCUUCAUUGACGAUAGUAAAUCCUCCAUCUACGACCAAAUUAUGCCCACUCACACACUUGGACUCAUCACUCCCCAAAUAAAGAGCAGCUUCAGCUACAUCCUCAGGCUUAAGAACAGCCCCACUGAGAUUUGAAUAAAUGCCACUCAUACCAUCAUCGUCAAGCUUCAAAAAACCCUUAGCCAUUGGACUUGAGACCGCAUAAGGUGACACAGAAUUCACCCUAAUGCCAAAUCGUCCAAGCUCCACGGCAGUAUUCUUCAUCAGCCCCACAACGCCAUGCUUUGAACUUGUGUAUGCAUGCGAUGUAACGCCACCAAUGACUCCGCAAACGCUUGCAGUUGAAAUUAUGCUGCCGCGUCCGGCGGGUUUCAUCACCCUAGCAGCAUGUUUCGUCCCCAAAAAAGCGCCAACGAGGUUAACGGAAAGUAUGCGCUCAAAUUCAGCCUGAUCGUUAUCGAGUAUGUUAGGUUUGGCUUCAUCCACAAUUCCCGCGUUAUUGAACAUAAUGUCUAGCUUUCCGUACUGAGAGACGGCCGUGUUAACUGCGUUUUCGAUAUCUUUCUCUUUGGUUACAUCGCAAUGGACAUAGGAGCAGCCGUUGGCUGAUGAUGAUGAA
This 53778-nucleotide long non-coding RNA is filed under the name Citrus x clementina. RNAcentral's name for it is "Citrus clementina (C. clementina) long non-coding RNA (CCLE_LNC001052)". Lineage: Eukaryota; Viridiplantae; Streptophyta; Magnoliopsida; Sapindales; Rutaceae. The record is from RNAcentral.